Molecule: long non-coding RNA, 48013 nt
Filed under: Xyrichtys novacula (pearly razorfish)
Lineage: Eukaryota; Metazoa; Chordata; Actinopteri; Labriformes; Labridae
Rfam family: mir-221 microRNA precursor family (bases 37708-37789)
Source: RNAcentral
AGACAGACAGAUGGAAGAGAAAGCAUGCAGCGGAGAGGAGGAGAAACAAAGCGUGUUGACUGAGGAAGUGUGCAUGCCAUGCGGGCCAUGUGCUCGUCUACGUCCCAGCUCGCCGACUCUCGCCGCUCUGAGACUCACUGCAGCUUCUCCUGCUCAAGUCUCCCACUUUUCACUCUAAGGUAGGACCGUCUUUACUUGUUCCUGUGUGUUUCAAAGAGUUUGUUUCGCCUCUUUUCUCGCCUUUUUCCACCUUUUUUUUUUUUUUCACCCCAUGCUGUGCUGCUUUUUUUUUUUGUUGGGUUUGAUGAUGCCAGAGUGAGAAAAAGUUUGAGCUUUGUUUUAAAUGCUGCAUGAUUUGAUUUUGCAAAAGCACAAAAUGUUGAAUUUCACAUGUUGAAUUCAUGCAAAAAAAAAAAAAAAAACUGUGGUGCAAUUUAGUCAAUGUUGGCAGGUCUGGCUGUUUGUUGCCAUGUGUGUGUUGGUGUGUGUGUGUGUGUGUGUGAGUGAGUGUUUGUGUGGUGGUCUGGUAUACUGGUAGAAUAUUGGCAGGACUGAGGAAUGUGUGAGAUCUCUUUGUUCCCUCUCUCUCUUUCCCUCUCUCUCUCUCAUUUUCUUCUUUUUUCUCUCUGGGGUUGCACACACACACACCACACACACACACACACACACACACACACACACACUCUCUUACACACACAUACACACACAUGCAGUCAAACCAACUCUUGCAGAAAACCAGUUGAAACUUCCCACCGGCAGGAGAGAAAUGUCUGGAAUGUGAUUAUCACGUAUUUGUGUUUAUUUUAUCACUGCGGGUCGCUCGCAAAGCAAAGAGGAAACCAGAUCAGGCGCGUGCACGUCACUUAGCGUGCAAUAAUGUGUGUGUAUGUGUGUGUUCAUGUGUGUGCGUGGUGCUGGUGGGUGGGUGGGUGGGUUGGGAGGGGACAGGGUAGGAGGGUAAAGAGUGAGAGCUAUUUGGCAGUGCACGUGAGUGUGUGGGUGGUUGUGUGGGUGUCAGGGUGAGUGGGUGCAGAGCUCUUUGAGUGAGAGCACAUGUGACUCUGAGUGUGUGUGGGUGUUGAAUGUGUGUCUGUGUGCGUGCACAGAAAGGUGAAAAGUAUGUGUGUGCAAAGGUAAGGUGAUUGUGUGUUUCCGAGUCUACCUUUGCAUCAAACGGAGGCAGAGGAAAGACAAAAAAAAAACUACUCCUCUUUCCAAAACCUUUUGCUGUCCCUCUUUCUUUCUUUCUCUUACAUGCACACACACACACAUGUACACACACAUGCACACACGCAAGGUUCAGGCGCCUGUCAAACCCAGUGCAUUCCUGAGAGCUCGAACACACGGAGUCUGAAUGGUGGGAUGAAUGCGGGGAAAUUCAGCUGAAACGUGAGGACAAAAGCCAGGGGGACAUUUAAGAGGGUUUAACUCGGCAGAACCCUGGGAAUCAGGGAGGAAACACACACACACUAAAACACACACGGAAACACACAUGCACGCUUGCAUUAGCGCAUGCCUGCACGUGCACUGAAAUGAACUGUGUAUACAUCUCGACACACACACACAUAUGUACAGCUGCGGCUCCAACAGGCUGUUAGAGCCGGGAACGGAGGGGAAUUCCCAGGGAGGAGACAGUGAAAACACACACUGCACCUCUGAAUGUACACACACACACACACAUACACAUGCACACACACACACACACAAAGGCCCAAGAAGCCAACACACUGCGCUGCAGGUAUCUCUGCAGUCCAUUAGUAAACCAUCGAGUUUCACGGCGAGCUGAAGAAUAAAAUCCUCAGAAAUGUGCAAAAAAAAAGUCAUGAAUUCUCUGAGACGUUUAAAGCUUUACAUGUCAACUUAAAAGCUUUUUAAAUCACAAAUACACACAUUUUUAAAACAACCUAAAACACUCUUUUAUCCACGUUAAAAAGAUUGCACAAAUCCCCUUUAAUGUGGAGCUUUACGAUGUUUUCAGUCAUCAUAUCAAAAAUCUUCCUUGCUGGUCUUUCAAUAAUGCACCACGUCAGGUUUUUAUUCAUUUAAUAUACCAUUCCUUAGAGUGAUGUCUCCUUUUUCUGUGUGCGGUUAUGAUUCAGCCGAGGUUUUAAAAGAAAAAAAAGCGGCAGGUGUUAAAAAGGUGUUCUGAUAAUGCCAAAUUUUGACAUUUCUCCAAAUCUUAAAAGCCUGAACCCGCCUGAGAGGAGCUCUUACGCCGCCGCACUGAAACUGACUGGUUUCCAAAAUGAAUUUGCACUUUAAGAACCAAAUUGAUGCAGAUUACCUGAGAGAGAUUUUCUACUUUUCCCUGUUGAAGAGAAAUUCAGUCCCUGUCCAGCUUUAAUAAACCACCUGGAAUUCCCUGAAGGACCUUUAAAGACUCCAGGAACUGCUUUGGGAACCUUUUUAAGUGCACACAGCAAAGAGGGGGGGGAAGUGCAUCUCAUUGUGUGCAGGAUUUUUCUUUUACAGUUGAAAAGCGUCAUUUUUGUUGCUCUAAUUUCGUAGAUUUGAUUGCUAUAAUCUUCUCGAUUUUCUGAAAAUAAAGGGACUUACUUGUGAAUUACUUAUUUAAAAAAACACCUUUUGGAUUUUGUUUUUCUCAUCUGCAUCUUUGCAGAAACAAAGGAAGUCUGAUUUUUUUCAAUGACAUGAAGGUGUAACAGCUGUUUCGCAAAUGCACCUGGACAGCUUGCGAAAGACCGCCUAGAAAUUUCUUAAGGACCCUAAAAGGUUCCAGGAACCUGCUUGGAGAUCCUUUUUUUAAUUGCACCGCCUGCAAGACAGAAACUGCGAAGAAAAAAAUCCAUUUAGAGCCGAGAAGAAGGAGUUUUCUUUCUCAAAAUUUACAGCUGAAGUUUGUGAAAUUGUUUUCAUUUUUGAGAGAGAAUAAAAAUUAAGUCGCCUCAUAGAUCACUCUCUGGAUUGGACAGUUUUAAGAUCGAUACAUCAUUUGUGGUUCACCAGGAAAGAAAGCAAGAUCUUUUUGUCAGUAAUUAGAAACCGAAUGAUGGAAUUCUGCACCUGCUCAGUUUGAUAAAGUCUCCAUGGAUAUUUCUGAAGGACUCUAAAAGGUUCCAGGAACCUGACUCGAGAUCGGUCGUGAUUGCACGACACCAGAAACCGAAAAUGUGCAUCGAAUUGUGUGAAGAUUUUGCAGCAAAGUUGCAUCUUUAAUUAAAGAAAUCAUCGACAUUUAUGGAAAAAUGACAAAAGAAUCAAACUGUUUGAUUUUUGCUGUUUUGUCACUGACGAUAAUUCCUAUUUGCGACUAGAAAGACAAGGAAAUCUUUCUGUUUUCAAUAAAAGCCACUUCAGUUGGUUCACCAAUAAUGAAAUUCAGCACCUGCUCAACCCUCAAGGACCCUAAAAGGUUCCUGGAACCUUUCUUUGGAUGCCUUUUCAUUGCACAGCAUGAAAAACCGAGAUUGAGCAUCAGAUUGUGUGAGGAGGUGAAGUCAGAAGCGUUAAUGAAGGGUUAGAAAAUAUGAGAUUGGUUGAGUAAAUGUUGCACCGUCAGUUUUCUAAAUCGUCCAGACCUAGAGGAGAAUUUAAAAGGAUUCGAUUUUGCUGUUUUUAAAGGAUUUGUUAUUAAAUCUGCGUCUUUAUCUCUGACUUUAAAGUGAAAGUUUGUGUCUCAGGUUUAGAUUCCAUCAGGUGUUUGUCUGAAAAUCUGGAUGUAAGUGGACAUUAGAGGUCAACCUUCCUCUCUGCCUCCUGCAUGCUCUAAGUGGGGGGUCAGGGGAUAUUUGUUCUGACCUGAAAUCAACUUCAGAACGAUAGAGCCGCAGAAUCAGAUGCCCCUCUGCUGAGAAACAAGAAGGGAAACACCUGGGAUUAUCCCCAAUCUGUGCAGCUUUUGCAUGUUUCAGAUUGAGCUGAUCUGCUGUCUGUGUGUGUCUGUGUGUGUGUGUGUGUGUGUGUGUGAUGGAAAAAGUGAUGAGUAAUACUCGGGGAUCUUGACGCUCAGUUCAUGUUCAGUUUGGCGCAUAAUUGAUUCAGCUUGAUCUGGUUUAUGGAGCUGAAAAUGAGACAAAAAGCAUGUGAGCGAUUUCCUGAUUUUACGCUCCAGUCACGAGAGUCGAUGAUGAUGAUUGGAGAGUCGAAUUAAAGGUCAGGUUGUGAUUUUCAAGAUGGUUCAGGUGAAUUUGAUGCAGUGAAAAGGUCACGAAUCAUGUGAGGUAAUUAAGGGUGGAGAAAAAAUGUGAUAAAACGCAGCUUUCAUGAGGAGAACCUGACGUUAUUUCGCCGAUAACCUGCGUCUGAAAGGGUUAAAUGAAUCUGGUCAUGAGAUUUACAGAAAGACAUUUGAUUGAAGAUAUUUCUGGGAAGUUUAGGUUGAAGAAAAAGUACCCAUCCCAAAUACCAGAAAGUGAGGUCAUAAGUGAGGCGAUAAGAGAAAGAGUGGGCACAGUAAUUUAUUCAGGGAAUUUCACAAUAUGAAGCAGCGAGCGAGCGGCUGAUAUUGUCAGCGAGCUGCAGAGAGCUCAUAAAGCUGCUCAGACCUGUGCCGCCGCCGCCGCCGCCCAGCCCGAGAAUCAAACAAGAAGAAGCCGAGAAAACAGAAGUUAAUUUCCCAGACUGCUGCAGAGAGUCACUCUGAGAAAAACUGAGAGUGAUGAGGUCUGCACGAGGAAGAGGAGGAGGAGGAGCAGGUGAGCAAGAACAAGAACCUCGAAUUUAUACUAAUGUAGAUGCAUGAGUUUGAGUUUCAGCAGGUACAAUCCCUCUGCAGGUGUAUUUCCCCACAGGGAGAUGAGAUAGAGAGGCAUCAGUCCAGAUAUGAUGAGAGAGCGUUUCACAUUCACUGUUCACUCACAACCGACUCAAAAUACAAGAAUAAAGAGAGAGUCUGAAGAAUUUAAGUUUCCACGCUGCUUCAGUUUGAUGUUUUCUUCAUCAGAUUGGUAAAAAUAGCUUUUCUUACAUUCAUGUUUUUGUUAAAAAAUAAAGCAAUAAGGGAGAAAAGGAUGUUUCUUUUUAAACGGUUUCAUAAAAAUGCACAAUUCUGGCAUUUCUGCAGCUUUUAAAAGCCUCAAAUCAUCUGCGAGAAGCUUUUUAAACCAGAGAGAGGUUCAGAAACGAGCAUUUAAAACACCAAAUGGAUUCAGGUGAUUUCAGAUCUGCAUGAGAAGGAAGGAAGGAAGGAAAUCUCUCUGUUCACUCACCUGUUGAGCCUCAAGUGAAUUUCAGCUUGAGAAGGACCUGCUUACAGAAAUGUGUUUGUAUCCUGUGAAAAAAAUGAAUAAAGAAAUGAUUAUUAAUAACCAUGAAGAGUGAAAGUUGUUCUGUAUAUGAAGCUGCUUCAGUUAUUAAAAUCAGAGGAUUAGAAGGUGGAAUAACGGAGAGGAAAAAUGAACAUUCGCCUGCCAUAAAAUGAUGUUUCUGAGGGGUGAAUUAUUCCCUUUAGCCUCUUCAAAUGUGACAGAAAAGAAUAAAGUCUUUAAUUAUCAAGAGCAAAAAUUAGAGGUAUAAAUGUAAAAGAAAAAUGCUGUAGUUAUCCAGCAAAUCCUGCAGCUCUAAAUCUUAAAAUCAUCAAAUUUUGAUCAAACACAGAAGAUUUGUUUCAGUCUAAAACUCUCAGUUUUUGCUUUUUCUGCAGGAUUUUUUAACUCUUAUCUAAAAGUUUUGUCUCUUUAAUUUGCAUGAAUGAAAUGUGCAUAAUUGGAGUGGACUCUGCUUCACUGAAUUAACGUGUUUCUGCUGUAAAAGCACAAAUUUAGACAGGAGUUUCGUUUUUUUUCUCCAUAAUAAUUAAAUUCGGGACUUUCUCUUUAAGUCGUGCUCUCUGCUUCAUCAUUUCCCUCUUUUAUUCCCCUCUGUCAUUCUUCACCUCUCUCGGAGUUGUCACAGUCUUUACUGCACUCAGACUCUCCGCGGGCGCACCGGGCGCACCGGGGACGGUCCCCGCAGCGUGGGGGGGCGACACGAGGAAGUAGAGAGGGAGGGGAGGGGGGGUUCUUUCUUGCGGGUAGACUGAGGCUGACUCUGGGGACGGAGCUGCGGCCGACUGCCGCAGGUUUUGGGGGAACCAGCUUCUCACUCUGAGGUCGCCGGGGCAUUUCCGAGCGAUCCGGGGUAAAACCCGGCUGACACACAGAGACAAAACAGAGAGAGAGAGAGAAAGAGAGAGAGAGUGAAAGAGAGAGAGAGAGCGAGAGAGAUCAGGGCACAAACAGCCUCAGAAACAUCGAUCCUCCUCCUCCUCUCUUCUGCAGAUAUCUGCGGCUGUCUGAGCUCGUUUCACGGACACUUUUACGCGCAGCUCUCGGUGAUGUUUGAUUUGGUCUUUUGUGUUUCUGUGCGCAGAGGACAAAACCAGGAGAGCUGACUGAGCCUGCACACGGGGGAAGGUGUCUGGAAAAAGGGAGCUGAUUUUCUCCUGCAACUUCUAAAUCCAAUGGCAGCGACACCGAAGAACACAGGUAACACAUUUAUAUUCUUAUCCGUGAUUUUAACACAGAUUUGAACAUUUUUAAGAGACACUUUUACGCCUUAAAAUCAUCCAAAAUUUCUGCUCCAAAUCAGAGAACUGUUGAUGCAUGUUUCUAUAUCAUAUUCCUAAAUUUGACUUUAUCACUGUCGGUGUGUUUGAGUUGUGUUGGCGUUGUUUGUGCGUUCCUGCAGCAGUGUGUGUGUGUGUGUGUGUGUGUGUGUGGUGAGACUGUUGAACAUGGCAUUGCAACAGUGUGUGGUCUCCUCCAGCUCUGGCAAGACUAUUGUGCACUCUUCACGUGCGCAUUUGUUCGUGCGCGUGCUUGCUUGUUGGUGUGUGUGAGAGAGAGAAAAGAGAGAGAGAGAGAGAGAAAAGAGAGGGAGGGAGGGGGGGAGAGGAGGAAUGUGAGUCGGGCUGGAGGAAAUUCUUGUGUUUUGGAAUGCGUUUACCCCGGGGGGAGACCCCGUGACUCCGGGAGAGAGAGAGAGAGAGAGAGAGAGAGAGAGAGAGAGAGAGAGAGAGAGAGAGAGAGAGAGACAGGGGUGUGAUUGCAUGGCUUUCUAAGAAAUAAUUGAAUCAUUGGUGUUAUGCUGUUUCAUGCAAGUCUCAUGCAAAUGCAGUGACAGUGAAUAUUUCAUGAUGAACAUUUUUGCAUAUUUUUAUGAUCAUUUCUCUCUCUCUGAGGAAGAGGACUAUAAUUAAAACCAUGCACGCUCACUUUCACACACACACACACACACACACACACACAGCGGCUCUGCAUCCAACAGGGGGAGCUUGUGACACAUGGAGCUGGAAAAUCAGUUAUUAAUGUGACACUAAUAUCAGCCUUCAAUUUCACAUGCGUUAACAAAGAGACAGUCAUUUCUUUUAGCAAAACACUCCGUGAAAAGUGGAUGAAAGGGCAGCUCAGACUUGCUUCCCCCUCGGUUCUUGGCAGAUUCUGCGUCUUUUAAAAUGGGACAUAGAUUUUAAAAAAUGUCAAAAAGUGCGUCUUAAAAAUAUGAAACAAAUGCACAUUUCAGAGGCAGACAUAGUCUAUGAUAAGAGCUGGAUUUAGCAGCUUUCUUUCUGCAGAACAUGCUGGACGUCUCCUACCUUGCAUUAAAGAAUACAUGCACGGUAGUAUUUUGGGAAAUUCAUCUAAAAUAUGUUAAAAUUUAUCUAUUUUAAAUCUCUUUUAGGCGAAGAUGUUUUGCACAUUUCAGAGGCAGACAUAGUCUAUGAUAAGAGCUGGAUUUAGCAGAAUGGUGAUUUCUUUCUGCAGAAUAUGCUGGACGUCUCUUACCUUGCGUUAAAGAAUACAUGCACAUGUUAGUAUUUGGAGAAAUUCAUGUAAAAAAUGUUAAAAUAUAUCUAUUUUUAAUCUCUUUUAGGUGUUAAAGGUGUUUUGCACAUUUCCAAAAUAUCACUCAAGCAAUAUUACCGCAAGGCGUCGACAAAAAGAGCAUUUUAAGUUCAUAUUAUUAACAAACAAACAAGAUUAAAUCAAGUUUCUGCCAACUUCCUCCAACAGGCAGAAACCCCGAGCAGAACCAGACUGAAAUCUCCCCCCCAAACUCGUACGAACUCGCUGGAUUCGGAUCAUUUAGCACGUAAAGAAGGAGACAUUUCUAAAAGCAUUAGAGGAAACUUCUCCCUGAAGUCUAAAUGAUGAAUUUUUGGAGAUGCUGUGAUGCUCAGCAGGAACUCGCCGCCUCGCUCUGAUGUGUCGCACAGUCAGAACAGAAAGCAUCCAUCACUCUGAAUGUGCUCUGCUAAAAUCAAGUGUUAUAUUGUGAAGUAUUCAGACAGUCACAUGGCUGUAAACACAUGCACACACACACACACACACACACACACACACACACACACACACACACACACACACACGCGCGACUGUUGCAGAUGAUGUAUUCGUUUUAAAAAGCCGACAGUGUUUAUCAUUCCCUGCUCUUAAAACUUGCACAGAAGUUGUUUUUUUUUUGGAUGUAAGCGUUCACCGGACAGACUGGGGUUAGAGUCCCGGUUGGUAUUGGACAGAGAAGAGUGUUUCUGGAACAGCGCUGCAGACUAAAAGCUCGCCCACACACAAAUGUGAGAUAUUCUAAUGAGCAAUCUGGACCAUCUGAAUAUUAUAUUCCUCUUCGCAGUACAGACGUGUUACUUUGUGCAACUCUUAUCAUUUCUGGUUUAUAAAAAAAAAAAAAAAAGUCUGUGUUUUAGUUUGAGAAAGGUGUGAGUGAUGAGGAGACGAUAUGAGUGACGUGAUCCUCUGCCACCUGUCUUUCACAGCCUCUUCAUCAUCAUCGGUUGAAAAGGAAGCAACAACCAGAGAGCUCCUGUCCUGUCCUGCUGGUAAGAAUAUCACACAUUAUCUCUGAUUUUAAGUGUUGCUGAAAAAGUGUGAAUUCAUGUAUCGAGUGGAAAAGUUAACCCUGGCAGCAGAAACUCGGCUCUUUUCUUCCACUCAGAGGGUUUUUCGUUAAUUUGAGAGAUUAGUUGGUGAGAGUUUGUGCAGGGGGAGAGAAUUUGACAAACUUUUCCUCCGUUCCUCGGUGUCACUACAGCAGAUCAAACCCUCCCUGUAGCUGUGAUUUAAAAAUAACCGAGCUCAGUACAGUAGCCAUGUGCACAUGAAACAUUUGACUUAAUGUAAACCCAAAAAAUAACAAUCAGGCUGCGUGAUUCACACACACAUCGAGCGUGUUCAGCCCACACACUCCCACGUGUUUCCCCUUCCUCUGCUGCCUCAGAUGUGAGGCACAUGACAUCAUUAAAGAGGUGCUCUAAAAUCAGUGUGGGUACUGCGUGUGCGUAGGCAGAGAGUGUGCGUGUGUGUGUGUGUGUUGUUUCUGUGUGGGUGCAGGAAUGAAAGCCAAAGCUCCAGAGCCGUGGGCCCGGUGCUGGCUGCCUGUGUGUGCCCAGCCGGAGGCUCUGGUCCUGGGCUGCGCUGCCUCCCACGCUGGGGUUCGGUCGGGGCUCUGAGUGGGAGGAGGAGUGGGAGGAGGAGUGGGCCGGGGCUGUGAGUCAGCCUGCUGCAAAGCCCCCAGACGGGAGACCGCUGAGGGAAGAAACACACCACCACACAAGAGUCUCCUCUCCCUGCCGGCCUUCGCAGAAACGUUAAAGUUUCUAAUGAGGAGGAUCAGACGGGGGGGACGGAAACACUCUGCAUCAGCUCAUCUCUGAAUGAGUUUUCUGCAGACACGUUUGUAAACACAAAAUAGACUUAAGGAGUUUUUUACUUCUUAGUUUGUUUUGUUUUGAGAUGAUCCAGGUUUAGUUUCUAUAAAUGUCAGAGCUGUUGCUAUAAGACAGUCAUUUUGCGUUCGGCAGCUCUGUGAUUCCUCAUGAUUACUCUUGCAUGUUUGACAUCCAAAUGUGCAACUACAGCAAAAACUGCUUUCUCCAUCUGUGCCUGUGUGCCCCUUAAAUGAAGGAGCUGUACAUCAGUUUACUCACGAAAUGGCAUAGAUAUAUUCUACAUUUGUGGAUGCACAUACAUGAACUUUGGGGAAUGACCGAAAGAACGAGAUCGUGGAUACAAGUGGCCGAAAUGGGUUUCCUCCUUGGAGAUAGGGUAAGGAGCUCAGACACUCGGGAGGCGCUCAGAGUAGAACCGUAGGAGUCAGCUGAGGUGGCUCGGGCAUCUGGUUAGGACGCCUUCUGGACGCCUCCCGUUAGAGGUGUUCCAGACAUGUCCCACCGGGUGGAGACCUCGUGGCCGGCCCAGGACCAGAUGGAGGGAUUAUAUCUCUCACCUGGCCUGGGAGCGCCUGGGAAUCCCCCCGGAGGAGCUGGUGGAAGGGGUUGGGGUGAGGGCUGUUUGGGCUUCCCUCCUGAAGCUGCUGCCGGGAGCUGAGAAUGACGUCACUAGUUACCUGAGUGACCAGUGUUUCAGUUACGGAGUCGGAAAAAAGCAAAAACUGAGGCAGAAACAAGAUGGCUACAUCUACGAAAGUUAUUUCAGCGCUUGCCUCGGAUAUUCGGAUAGGGCAAUCGCUAAAAUAACUUUCGUAGAUGUAGGUAUCUUGUUUCUCCGAUGGAUUUUCAUUUUUUCCAACUCGGUAAAUGAAACAAUGGUAACUCGGGUGUGACGUCAUUUUCAGCUCCGACAUCUGACCUCCGAGGUAACUUGAAUGCAGCGGACAUCAGCUACCCUGCUGAAACUGGGUUUUUGGGGUCAACUAAAGUCUUAUUUUAGUUUUCUUUCUUUUUCUUCUAUAAGAUGAGAUUACUAAGCGUAUACUCCACUUGCAUCUGCCCCAAACCAAUAGUGCUGUACCUGCUCGGUUCAGUGAAUACACUCCCAGUGAGUCUGAUCAUGAGAGGAAGAUUUCAACGUCUAUAACGUUUUUAGAAAAGUUGAAGACAGAUUUGUUUUUAAAGCUGUCAUGACAUUUCUGAUUUGUGCUGCUGGGUUUAAAAAUCAGAUGUUAAUUGAUGAGGGUCGUUAAAAUCCCAUUUCAGCAAAUUGUUAAACUCCAUCCUGAGAGGUGGAGGUCAGGUGGAGGGCCGCGGUGACCCGGUGAUCUCAGCAGCGUUUUGUCGCUCUGAUAAUGGAAGGUGGUUCUCCAGGAAACUCAGAGGGAGUCCACCAGUCUGGUACAAGGGGGGGUAGCUGGAGCCAGGCCGGGGCGUGGAGCAGAGCGGUGCAGCGGAGGAUAGGGUGGGUGGGUGGGAAAUGCAUUGGCGUGUGGAAGCGAGGAGGAGGUGGAAGAGUGGGAGGAGGAGGAGGAGGGACGGGCGUUAAAAGAGGCAGGCGAGGAGCGUGAGGGAAGGACGGGGAAGUGAGAACAGGAAACGCUGGUCGGAGUGGAAUGUUUCACAAGAAGGCUUCUCCGCCCUGCGAGCGUCAGGACGAGGGCGUCUGCUGCUCAGACAGCCACCAGCCAUCCUCACACACACACACACACGUACACACACACACACACAUUCUCCACAGUGUGACCCCUCACCGCUUUGGCAGGGUUAGCUUUUAUAUCCUGUGAGCAGAGGAGUCACUGCCUGGACUGAGCAGCUCUGUGUGACUGCAGGACAGAGAGAGAGAGAGAGAGAGAGAGAGAGAGAGAGAGAGAGAGAGAGAGAGAGAGAGAGGGGUGUACUGGAGCUGGUUUUCCUCUGACACCUCUGAAGGGAAGAGGAAGAGGAAAGGGGGAGGAUGAAGAGGAAAGGAGGAGCAGAGAGGAGAGGGACUCACAGGGCAGGGAUGAUGGGGUGGAGUGCUGCACCGCUGGGGUCCUUUAAAGGAGUCACUGCGUGUUUACUGGAAAUACAAAAGCAACAUUUGUAGCAUCACAGCCAGGUUAUAAAUUUUAAUGUGCGUUUGCUCGUUAAUAUGGAAGAUGCCGAAAAAAAGGCUGUUUUAGCAGUUCUGCUGGCGUGCAUCUCCACCUGUAGUUCUAAACAUUUCAAGUAGCUGUUCAAAAAGUACAGAUUUUUAUGUUAAUGGUUAGAUUUUCUGUUUUGAUUUUUGGACGGGAAUAUCCCAAUUGGUAACGGAAAAGUCUUUCCUUUGCAUUUAAUGGAAGGCCAUGUUCAAAUCAGAGCUGGAGUUUUAAUUUUAGUUAUGAUUUUAGCUCCUCACAAUCAUAAAAAACUGCUUAUCACGACUGUAUGAUAUUGUGCAGCCCACUUUGUCUUGCUCGUUUUGCCUUUUAUAGUGAAUCAGGUGCUUUUUGUCCUUAAAGGGAUAUUCCAGCGCAAAGUUAAUUUAGGGUCAAACACACUGUAACACCGAGUUACACAACCCCUCGAGAGAUGAAUGUUGUUGACCGCUUGCUUCUCUAGUUAUACCAACUUUAGUCAUGACCGCACGAUAGCAAUACACAGUGGUCUGAGUAGCCACACACAAACCUCAACCAAACGCCACUCUAUAACCAAAAAUAAUGCUCAGAACAGCACCUAACUUCAUCAACAGUACAUAUAGGGUCCCAGCCAUAGUACUAGCCACCAAACAGCUUUUUAACUUUGCCUAAUUUCUUUCAUAAAGAGACUAAACACAACUCACCUACUCUAUUCCAGCAGCCGCUUGUUUGUAGCAAGACCUCAGGUAAAUCCAUUACGGACUGUUGCGGGGGGAAGAACAUUUAUGAUCAUUUCUUCGUGGAAAUGUAAUCAGACCAAGACGCUGCAAAAUGAUUAAUAUGGUGAUUAUUGCGUCAAGGAAAUGAUAAAGAAAUGAUCAUAAAUGUUUUUCCUUGAGCUGUGUCACCCCGCUGUAGUCCGUAAUGGACUGGCCCGAGGUCUUGCUACAAACAAGCGGCUGCUGGAAGAGAGUAGGUGAGUUGUGUUUAGUCUCUUCGCUAAAGAAAUUAGGCAAAGUUAAAAAGAUGUUUGGUGACUAGUGCUGUGGCUGGGACCCUAUAUGUAAUGUUGAUGAAGUUAGGUGCUGUUCUGAGUAUUAUAUGCGGCUAUAAAGUGGCGUUUUGGUUGAAGUUUGUUUAUGGCUCCUCAGACCGCUGUGUAUUGCUAUCGUGCGGUCGUUACUAAAGUUGGUAUAACUAGAGAAGCAAGGGAUCGGCAACAUUCAUCUCUCUAACUGGGGCUGUCUAACUCUGUGUUACGGUGUGUUUGACCCUAAAUUAAUUUUACGCUGGAAUAUCCCUUUAAAAACAGAGUGUGUUCUCAGCCCUUCCCCUAAAACGGGUCUUACUUUCAGUCCAUCGUCAUGAGGUCAGAUCGAUGUGCAUCAAAGUUUGAACUCUCAAGGGAGUUGCAGACUUAAUAACAGACUGCUGUAUCUUCAGUGAGUUGUGCUGCAGCUGCAAGUGGACAGAGGAGAGCAGGAGUUGCUCAUGUGUGUAUGUGUAUGUCUGAAAAGUCAAAAACAGAAACAAAACAGAGAAAUGGUUCUGAAGAUAUAAACAUUCAAGUAAAGGCGAAGAAUGUGGCGCAUGUCCACAAAUCAAAUAUGUGAAGUCUGAAAUAUAAAGAUCAUGGCGACAUACACAAAUAGAGGCUGUAAUUUAUGUAAGAAAUGUUCUGAAUUUAUCUAAAAUGGGAGGUAUAACGUCACAUAUCUUGACCCCAUAGUUUAACCAUUGCAUCACGUUUAAAGUAUUUGUGUGUGAUGUAAUCAGAGACACUUGCAUAAGUGAUGGAAAAUUCAAACAGCACCUAAACGCAUCACUGCUCCAGCUGCUCUGGAUGUCUCAGCAGGCUCAGAGGUGCCGAGGUAUCCCUGAGAGUGUGUAUGUGGAUUUGUGUGUGUGUGUGUGUGUGUGGAUUUGUGUGUGCAUAUUACCCUGUGAUAACCCUUAGUCUCACACACACACACACACUCGUACUGACACGGUGGUUCACACGUUACUGCAGGGCAUUGGAGAGAGAUAAGACACAGAGUCAUGCCUCCCCAGCGUGACAGUGACAUCACAGUUGUAUCUGUGUGUUCACUACCCCAGCACACACACACAUACACACACACACACCUCCCCCUGUGUGCUAGAAAGAGACCAGCCUAAUAUAGUCAGCAUGGAUCACACACACACACUUAGACACACUUCCUCACAGGGCCAGAAGCAAAGGGGAUAAGGUGGGGGGAUCCGCCUGUCAUAUUUCCAUCUCCUGUCCUUGGUUGGUUAUAAGCAUGUGUUCCUCCAGAGCCGAGUGUGUGUGUGUGUGUGUGUGUGUGUGCGUAUGUGGGUGUGUGUGAAUGGGAUGACGUCGCUGUUACGUCUGUUGGUGUCCAUCACUGGCUCAGAGUCCAGUCUUGGCAGAGACAGGUGCAUCCAUGGCUGCCUGUGUGUGUAUGUGCGUGCGUACGGGUUGGUUUUUGUAGCCUAUUUGGGACAUGUCCAGUGUUGGACUUUGCUGGGACUAAUUGUCCUCUAGGGGACCCACUCUGUCCUGGAAAGGCUUUCUCUGAUGUUCUGGCCCUGCUUCCUGUUUAAAGAUAUUGUGUGUAUAAGUCGGUGUGUUGCUGUAUCAGAUGGUUUUUGUUAACUUAUCGUCUCAGAGCUCUGCUUGUGGGGAUCUCGAACCUGUUUUUGGUGCAUCACAGGGACCAUUUCUAAAACAAAAACCCUUCGUAUGGGGACCACUACUUUUUGUAGUGACACACUUGUUAUAAAUGCUGCAAAAAGUUGUUUCUGAUGUUUUUGUUUCACCACCUAGUUUGUGUGUGUAUGUGGAAUCAUUUUUGUUACGUCACAGGGACCUUUUCUCAUAUAAAAGCCUUAUUUAUGGGGACUACUUUGUCUUGUAAUCACACAUCUGUUACAAACACUGCUAAGUGUAAAUCUCAUUUUGUUUUGUGUGUGUGUUUAUGUUUAUUAGAUUGUUCCUGCUGCCUUAUGGGGACCUUGACAAAUAUCAAAACACUACUUGUGGGGACCACUAUUUCUUUAGGACACAAGUUGGCUGCAAUUGCCUCAGAAUGUUAAAUUUGACGUUCCCAUGUUGCCUUAUUUUCGUCGAGUGUGUGUGUGUGUGUGUGUGUGUGUGUGUGUGUGUGUGUGUGUGUGUGUGUGUGUGUUUCUUUUGGUUGUUUUUAUGAACUUAUAAGGACCACUUUUUUUUUUAGGGACAACUUGUUACAAAAGUCUUUGCUGAUAUCUCAAUUUUGCUUCAUUUUGUUAGCCCGCAUGCUAACUUUGUGAGUUUAAUGUAUAUGUUUGUGAGAGUGCUUUGCUUGCAUCAGGGAGGCUUUGUUCAACAUUAAAACUCCACUAAUAGGAACCGCUGAAGUUAAAUCUGGCAAGCAAUAUGUGAUCAAUGUCAUGUUGUGUAGCAGCCAUUGCUGUGUUAGGGACUCCCUGAUGUUAGACAGCUACUGAUGAAGAUACCUUGUUGAAAAGAUCUAAACACAUUUUUAGAGUUAUUCAAUUAGAUAGCUUUCAGAGAGAUUGAGAAAAGAAAAGGCCUGACCUGCCCUAUAUUUUUGCCCAAAUGCCAGGUAAAUGCAUUCUUAAUCUACCUUGCUAGUCUCAUGAACCUGUUAACAACUGUGUCUAUCAUCACAGACUAGUUGCACCAGCAAAUAUAUUUUUUAUGUUAUUUUUUAUUUAGCUUAUACAUUUUUAAAUCAUUCAGUUGCUACCACAACUGAGUAAUUUUAACAAAGCUAAGCUUGUCAACAAACUCGCCAGCUGGUAAAAUAACGCGAUACAAGAUUGUUUCAUCAAUUUUCUGGUGAUCAAAAAUAAAUUGAAAUCAACAGGUCACUUAGUAAUUGGCUUUUUUUGUUGUGCAAAGUUAACAAGGUUCUUUUAAUUGCUACCAACACUGUUGUCACAAAUAAAACUGUACAAAAAGUAAACACUAAUCACUCCUGAGCGCAAAGUACGUUCAAAACACUGAGAUUUUGAAGUAGGUGCCACUGCAGCAAAGCUUGUAACAUUGGUUUAUAGUGGUGAAUCUGUCACAUAUGCUUAAAAAAGUCAUUUGUUCAGGUCCUGCUUUUUGGUAUUUAAGUGUAGGAUGUGUUUUGUCUCAUAAAGACGCUUACAUCCAUGCAGAAACAUUGUAUAUGUACAGAAUUAUGGUCCUUACGGGGACCUGCCCACUACAAUCAGUAACAGUGAAAUUUACACAAACACCCCCGCUGGCUGUCCUUUACAUUCUUUCUCUUUCCUGUUUGAAUUCUUCGACUUUAUCUCUUCAGAUUCUUCUCCUCUCUCUCUCUCUCUCUCUCUCUCUCUCUCUCUCUCUCUCUCUGUCACUAGCAGCUCUGGUCAGCCAUUAAACUCCCUCUUAAGCCAAACCAGCAGAAUUCCCAGGCUGCUCGGCUGCCCGGGUUCACACCUUUUUGUCCACAGGAAUCUCAGGAAUCCCCAGCUUCCUUUUCCACCGCAAUCUCCAUUGUGUGUGUGUGUGUGUGUGUGUAAAGCUAUAAGAAGCAAAGGCCCCCGCCUGUGUUGUGUGUGUGUGUGUGUGUGUGUGUGUGUGUGUGUGUGUGUGUGUGUGUGUGUGUGUGUGUGUGUGUGUGUGAAAACACAUCUCCGCCCUUGUACCCACCCAGUUUGUGUCCACAAUAGUGUGAGUCACACUCAAAAACGACAAAAAACUCUCUGUUACUGUGAAACUUUACACUCUCAGACAAACUUGAGUGGACAUUUAGGGUCACAGUGAAAUUGAAGAACACAGAUUUUGUAAAUGAACUUUUGAGUCAGUAAAUACAAACAUAUACAUAUAUAUAUUUUACGUUGACACCAUGUUUUUCUUAUAACAGGCAAAAGUUUCGGGAGGUAACAUUAGCUUGUUAGUACAGGCAUUAAAAGCGUGGGAUACAUCUUAACAAAGAAAUCCAUUAGAGGGAUUUGAGUGAAUGAAAUGGGAUUAGUUUUAUAAAAAUACAAUAUAGAAAUAUUUUUAAAACUGUCAAUGACAAACGGAGUAAUGUGAUCCUGAAAAAUUGUGUUUGCGUGAAAAAAAAAUGACACUUGUAUUACAAAAAUAAGCAUAAAAUGAGGCGUUUAUAGAAUAUGAACAUAUCAAUUAAAAUGAUGAAAGCUUAAUUGUCACUUUUGAUGGAUUUUAACUUGCAGCAGAAAGUGUUAAGGUUCAAUUAAUGAGGAAUACAAAUACGUACAAACUCUGACAUUUUUGUUAUGACAAUAAAUAUUUGAGAGUCAGUUUUUGAAAGUCAUAGUUAUGCUACAUCCAGCUCACUAGCAGCUACUGCUUCUUCAUCAUCUUAACUAUGUCUAAUGAUGUGGCAACCAGCAUGAAGGAGAGAGAGACAAUAUCAUAGUAGAGUGAUAUGAUAUGAUAUAGAACAAAACCCAUGGUCUAAGAUGAUGAUAACACCAAUCACACAAUGAUACAUCACAAAAUCUGAUGAGCCUGAUAACAAAACAUGUCCGAAAAAAAUGAAGUUCACGUUUAAUGCCGUUUGCGUCACCAUGACAAGUCAUAAAGUUAGAUGAAGUGAGUCAUUCCAACAUCUACACAAAGAUGUAUUGUUUUUAAAGUGUCCAUAUUUGACUUCAGUGAUACACAGACUAUAUAUUUUUCUUUCCCUUAUUUUCUGGUCUAAAAUUUGUAAAGGCAAUCCUGCAGCCCUGUUUUCUUAACAUGAAAUUACCCUCAUUGUCAAGCAAAAUAUAUGAAUCUUAGUUCCAGUGAGUCAUUGUUCCUGGCUAAGAGAGAGCAGCUGAGUAAAAAGAAUAAUCUGUCUGAUUUUGGCAGGGAGGAGUCAAAUGAACCAAAAUAGCUCCAGACAAAAAAUUAUUUGUUUUCAGAGUUCUCACAGAGAAACCUCUAAUGAGAGGUGAUACUACGCCCAUCCAGACAAGAGUCAGUGCUCUUACAGUGUGACGCCUGCAGGUUAACACUGCCGUUUGUCCGCACGUCUGGAGUCGUUUACCCUCGCCAGCCCUGACUCAUCCCCCACCGGAGCCCAGCCUGCUGUCGGGGCUCAGCAGCACCCAUUCAACACGAUGAGAAACAUUCAGAAAAACCAAACACCAACCGGACACACGACAGGCUGUGAUUCACACACACCCACUCAAUCUCCAUCCACACAUAAGCAGCCACAGAGGCGUACAGGUCCAUGUCUGAAAUGUUGUUGAAGAGGCCAGCCAGGAGGUGAUCUAAGACAGAGGUUUAAACAUAACAUCAGGAGGAAAGGGAUGGUUCUCAAAGUGAGAAACAAAAACAAAACAAAUAUCUGCUGCAAGUUUGGGACUUUCUCUUAUCUUUCUCAGGGGAAACACAAGUCAGUUUUUUAUUUACCCUUAUAACAACUAUCCAAACAAUCUAAUUGAAGUUGUUGUGAAAAUUUGCUUAAAACUUUUAUGACUUUUAGGCGUUUUAUGACAUGUAACCUUUAACAGACAGAUCUCACAAAAAGCUCAUAUAAAACAUAAAUGGGGAGAAAUACAACAGCUAAAAAGAAAGAGAAUUAAAAGGAAAAUACUCAUUAAAAGUUGCAUCAUAGUAAAAAAAAUUACCUCACUUUGAAAAUUUGUCUGAAACUACGAGGGUGAUGUAUUACUCAAGUAAAACAUUAGCAAAGAAAAGGGCGUUUUUCACUGUAAAGUAGGUCGUUGUAUAAAAAAUACUUUCUAUUUCACAAGUAGAGAAUACAAAGUAAAAUGUAUAACACUGAAAUGAAAAUGAAAGUAAGAGAUUUUCAAAGGAUUAAUAGAUAUUUAAAAGCUUCGAUGAAAAAGAAAAGAGGACUUCGAUGAAAAAAUUGAGCAUAAGAUAAAAGGUAAAGAAAUGAACAAGCAUGGAAAAUUAAGAUGUUAAAAUUCAAGAAAAAGAAGUCUGAAAAGUCAUGAAAAGAAAUUUAUAGUUGGCCGAUAUCAGUUUUAAUGGUUGGUGCCAAUAAUGAAAGAGCAGAUCAGCUGGUGUCUGAUAUAUUCUAUAUCACAUUGUUGUUGUUGUUGUUUUCCAUUUCCAACAAUUUAAUAAGUCUAACAAAUAGUAAACAAAAUCAUAGUUACAUUACAGUAUCUGUUAUUGAUGUGAUAUGAUGUGAUUUGAGAAAGAAAAUUAUCAUUUUGAAAAGAUUAUUGUUCCAUUGGUCUUGUAGUGUUGUUACUUCAAAAUGUUAUUAAUCAUACUAAUUAAUUAGCAGACUAAUUGAUCAGUCCAUCUCUAUUGUGUGUUUCAGUAUCAUCAGCAUGUAUCAGUAUGUUGCAAUCAGAAAUAAUUAGUGGGAGGUUGUCAAUGAAAACUGAAAAAAAGAAGUGGUUUUAAGGUGGAGACAUGAGGCACACCCCUCAGAUAAGCUAAUCAGAUUUUUGACUUUUCACAACAACACUUUGCUUUCUGUUGUGUAAAUAAGAAUCAAAUCAUGGCAAUGCAUGCUGGGAAAAAUGUAUAGUGCAAAGUUUGUCCAAAAGUAGAUAUUGGGCCACCAUCUGAAACAUGAACAACCCUCUGCUUUGUCUCCAAAAGUAUUAACCCAACUGUUUUGAGCAGCACAACAACUGCAGUGAGAGUCACUCCUUGUUUAGAUAUUGCUUCAUAUUCAGGCGCCUAAAACAUCGUCAACCUCUGACCCACAGAGAUUGUCUCGUAGGGUUAACAAUAUAGAAUCAAAGGGAGUCUGCAGUAUUUAGGUCGAAUAUUACUCAACCCUGUUCGUUACAUGACUCACUGAAGUUAUUUAAAUAGUUAUGAAUGGAGCCUGACAAAGCCGCUCCUCCCCUUGUAUGUGUGUGCAUGUUUGCACACCACAAUGUGUGUAACGGGAGCGUAGCAUGGGUGCAGCCCGGCUUUUGAUGAGUCACAUGUGGAUCCUCUGUGAGUAACUAACCAGCUAUGUGAGUCCUGAAGUUUCAGACCCACACAGAAAACCCCUGGUCUCAGAGGGAGGGGGAGGGGCAGGGCAGGGUGGGGCGGCUCUGGACUGUUGAUGGGUGUGGUCUGCAGGAGUGGUGAGGCAGAGAAUAGAUGUGGGGUAAAAUAGCAGGAUGUAGGUGAGGACCGGGAUCUGUGAGUGGAAGGUGGAGGACGGGAUGGUGAGGGCAGAGUAAGGUCAGGAUUAGGGGAAAGAGGUCAUCGCUCAGGGUCAAAAAAUGGUAAUGACUACAUUUUACCUCACCCUGUUAUCUCCCUCUAAAUCUGUUUUUUAAUUUGAGGAGUUUUGUGUCUGUACACUCAGGUACUUUCUUUGAAUAACUCUGGUCACUGCAGAAUAACAUGUUUAUCAGCUUCUGCAUAUCAGUCAGUUUUGGUAAAUUUUGGUACUUUCUCUUUCUGUGGUCACACUCAGCUCUCUGACUCCAGAGGUGUCAAAAGUCCAAACUUUCUUUACCUAUAAACAAAAACAAACUUUUACACAAAAACACAGUGGCAAAAAAGGUACUGUUUAACUUUUGGUUCAACAAAACUCACUGAUAAUGAAUUUGUCAAAGUAACUUUGCAAGUCUGAUAUUGUUUCUAACACUUACCUAAACAUAGAAGGACAUAUAAGUAAUUUUAAAAGUAUUAUAGCCAAGCCUAACAAAACUACAGCUAGAUAUUGAUUCGAGAUUAUCACCUGCAUAAAAAUGUUGAGGUUAGCAUUAAGAAUUGACAAAUGUAUAAUUUUAAAGGUUUAGAUGGUUUAAAAAAAAAGGAAUUCAUUCUUUUGUUUUUUCAAGAAACUUAAAUUUGAUACUGGGAGUUUGGGGUUAAAAGUUAAGAGAAAAACACCAGAAUAUCUACCAAAAUAAAAAUAAAAAAAUUGCAAGUAGCCGCUUUUAAGUAAAGUGCAAUACAAAUACAAUAAUAAACAAUACAAAAGACACAUUACAUGACAAUAUAAGAUGACACAAAACAAUUCAUAAAUAUAUAGUAAAAUAAAAUAAAUCUCAAGAAAAAACAUUGCCUUUAGAUACAAAUCAAAAUAAAAUAACACACCGUAAUGAAAAAAGGUGAUACAGAGUGAUUCCAAAUCAAAACAAAACAUUUCAAAAGGAUACUAAACAACACAAAAUGAUAUAAUAUUAUACAAUUACAAAAUUAACAGUACAAUCAAAAGUAAUAUAAAAUGAUGCAUCAUAUUAAUAUACGAUAUAACGUUAAACACAUAAUAUCAUGUAGUUCAAUGCAAGCCAGUACAAAACAAUAUAGUUGAAAUGAUAUAUUUAAAUUUACAUUACAAUACAAUUUAUCUAUUUAUGUAAUAUGAGAAUUAUGCCGAUUGGCAUGGCAUUAUAUCUUAACAAUAAUUAUAACAAACUAAAUGCACAAGAGUUUAAAGCACGGUAAAACUGCAUAUAUAAUUGUUGUGUGUGUGUGUGUAUGAAUAUAUAUAAAUAAAUAAAUAAAUAAAUAUAUAUAUAUAUGUGUGUGUGUGUGUGUGUAUAUAUAUAUAUAUAUAUAUAUAUAUAUAUAUAUAUAUAUAUAUAUAUAUAUAUUUGUAUAAUUUUGCUGUAAAGUGAUAAAUGUAAACAAAUAUAAUGGAAUUCAUGAAAAAUUUGUCAAGUAUAAAAAUGAGGGUCAGUGUUCAGACUUUUUGGUUACUCAGCCCCCUCCUUGACAGCAUCCUACUCUUUUAUCAUGAUUAUAAAUGCAGUAUUCCUGUAAACCAGUGCAAAAAAUGCAUGAUGUUAGUUCCUACAUUUAGUGGGUAUUUGUGCAUCUGGUUCUGGACAACAACAUAAUGUAUAUUAAGAGAGAAGGCUGGGACUUAAUUAUAGCUUAGUUUGGACUGAAAACGAAAUAUGAAACAGGACUACUUUAGCUUUUAUCUUUUGCAGGUGAUUUUCUGAAACAAGCAUAAGAUGCUCUUAUAUAUUUAUUUGUGUGGGGUGUGUAAACUAUGUGUGUGUCAGUGUGUGUGUGCUGCCAGUGGGGCUGGAAGUCAUAAAGCACCCUCUACUGUGGCCGCUGUGUGUGUUUUCAGUGUGGGGGGGCGGCCGUCCCUGCCUCCUUUCCCUUUUUUAAGAAGCUGGGACCCUUUUUUCUACAGACGCCCCGACUCUCUGGCCAGGGGGAGUUUCCUGCUUUUGAAGACACACACACACACGCUCAGAGAGAGAGAGAGAGAGGGAGGCUGCCCUUACUUUUUCCUCCUCCUCCUCUCCCCCUCCCUCUCUCCUCCUCUCUUUUUCUGAAUGGAUGUCCUCUCUCUAACCUCAAUUGAGCGCUGUGUAACAGGACACUGCCCUCUGCCGCAACAGGCUCAGCCCCCUCUUUAACACUAUAAGAGAGUGCGGCGGCGCUCCCGAGAGCGUGUGUGAGGGAAAGUAUGUCCGACAGUGUCAGUCUGAGGGAGAGAAGGAGGGAGGGAGGGUGAGGGAAAAAGAGAGAGAGAGAGAGAGAGAAACAUGUGAUAGCGUAACUUUGGCGGGGCUUGUUGGGAGUUUAACGGCUGUGGUGUCUCCAGAGCUCUGGGAAAGCACCUUUAGCCCAGAGGGAGCCUCACACACACUCACACACACACACACUCAGACACACACUCAGCCUCUGUCAGUGUGUGUGUGUGAGAAACUGUGUGUGUUUAGAGCUGCUGUUACUGAUUACACUCUGAAGAAUGCAGCAGCAGGAGGAGGAAAAAGAGAGGAGAGACAUGAAAAGAUGAGAUCUUUUAGGAUUUUUUUUUUUGCGUGUGACUUGCUCUCCCAGCCGUGGACAGUGACGUGGGUGAGAAGUUGUUACCCAAUCGCGUCUCUCCCCUUUUCUCUCUCCCUUUUUUUCACUCAAGCAAAGUUAAAGAGAGAGGGGAAGCCGAAGGGAAAGGACACCCAGCAAAGUCAGACCGGUGAGCGUGAGGAGGGGGGGAUCCCUCAUUCCUGAGCCGGGAGGAAACUCACCCAGACGGGUAAGUAAAGAGGAAAAAAAGGGAGAGAGUGUGUGAUAGAGGGGGGCAAUGCUCCCAGAGAGUUGAUGGAUAUCAUAUGUUAGAUGUUAAAGCUUAGGAAACUGCUCCCAGAUCAGUUUGGGAGCAGGAAACGCAGUCAGCUGAGCGUGUUUGUGAAAGUUUGAGCGUCAGGAUGAUCUUUACUCCAUGAGCCGGUGGGUGUCACGCUGUGGGAGUUUGGGGUAGCGUUACCUCACAGAAGAGCUGAUUCACUGUUACAUAGCCGGCUUGUGUGUGUGUGUGUGUGUGUGGAUCACACACUCUUUGAGGGGCUUAUUACAGUUCAAGGAUUAACUGAGAGGAACAAUGUAUGCUAUCUGUGCGUAAAAAUAGGUCUAAUCUGCAGUUUUUUUCUUCACUUCCUCCCUGUCACGCUGUUUUCUCCCCCCCCCCCUCUCGUGCUCUGACACAGAUAGCACAGUCCACUCUUGCAGCUCAGCAGCAGAGGGCAUGAAUGAACGGGGUGGAGGGUGAGGGAGGUGAUGAGGAAGGAGGAAGGAGAGGGGGGUGGAUGCAUGUAGUAUCAUACAGCACGGACAGCGCAGUGUGGCUUCUUUAUGAAUGGACGUGGCAGCCGCGUGAUGUGAUUGGCUGAGAGCAGAGUGACGAGUCAUGACUGCAAGAGCCCGAGUGUGUGGAUUCAUUUUAAAGAGAGCGUGUGUGUGUGUGUUUCAGGGGGGAAAAUGUGUGUGUUAGUGGGACACAGAGAGAGUGUUUUUGUGUGAUUCAGUCCUGGUGGUUCUGGGUUACAUGUGUUUGUCUAAAGGGGGCUUAGUCACUGGCUCAACAGUGGGGUGUGUGUCUUAAAAUCUGGACUUUUAAAAGCGGUGGCGGUCUGCCCGGCUGUUGUUCCUCUUCAGAUGAGCUCCCACUCGCUCCCACUCGCUCUGACUAAGACCACGCUCGCUCCAGCUCUCAUUACUCUUACUCACUUGUCAUGUAAUCAGAGGGCAGGUCUCCAGACUUCAUGCAGUAAUAUCACUGCUGAAUCACUCGCUGAACUCGUGAAACUGUAAUGUCUUCUGCGUGACAUUUACUUUUUUGGAUUUCCGUUCAAUAAUUUAAGGGAAAAGUGGACACCAAAAUUAUCUGUAAUCACCUCUAACUCUCAAAGAGAUCCAGGGACUGAGUGUGUCAAAGUACAAGUGUGUAUAUCACCAGUAAUAGUCACUUAUUACAAAUAAUAAAACACAUGCGAAACUUUUUUAUGCAAUAAUAAAGUAAAACAGAAAUUAAUUUUUGUUACUAAAUCAUGAAAAACAAGUGAUUCAUCCAUUCAGAAAUGAUGCCAAGUGCUUCUCUGGUGAGAUCUGAUGUUUGAAGAAUGAAUGAAAAUUAAGUUAUUUUUCUCUCAUUUCUCAUUUCUCUGAACUGAUUAGUCACUGCAUGACUUUUUAAUUUUUGCAUGUCGCAUUAUUUACUUUGCACAUGUAAACACCUGAGUUAGAGAAUGACAGUUUGCAACUUUUAUAGCAGCUUAUUUGAUGGUUCAAGUCAUGAAACUGAAUUAAAAAAAAACAUUAAAAGUUCAUAGAAGAAUGAGUUUUCCACCUCUCUCUUUUCUUUAUCUUCCAUACUUACUGAGGGUAUUUUAAGUGUUUUUAGUUGGGUUGUAUUUAAGAGAGGUUCAUUUAGGACAAGUUGCUGCAUUACUUUUUAUUUUUGAACAAGUUGAAUUAUUUGAAAUACUUUAAAGUCAAUAAUUGUGUACAUGUAAACACCUGUGUUGCAGAAUGACAGUUUGCAACUUAAAGCAACUUUUAUAGGAGCUUAUUUGAUGGUUCAAGUCAUGAAACUGAAUUUAAAAAACAAAAGUUCAUAUGAGAAUGAGUUUUCCACCUCUCUCUUUUCUUUGUCUUUAUUUACUUUUACUGUACUUACUGAGGGUAUUUUAAGGUUGUAUUUAAAAGAGGUUGUUCAGUUAGGACAAGUUGCUGCAUGACUUUUUAUUUUUGCACAAGUUGAAUUAUUUUGAAUACUUUAAAGUCAAUAAUUGUGUACAUGUAAACACCUGCAUUGCAGAAUAAGAAUUUGUGAGUUGAAUGGAACUUUUAAAGUGGAUUUUAGUAAUGUUAAAAAUUAUCAAACAGGGUAGAGUUAUUGAAAAAAAAUUAACUGAGAGUGAUAAGAUAUCUUGGCAGUCUUUUAUUGCACUUAAAGUAUUUUAACUGAUUUCAGUGGUGUUGUGAUUAAGGGAUGUUGUUAUUUAUCUAAUGUCUACUCACAUGUUGAUGCAGGACUUUUUAUUUAGAGUCAACAAUUUUGCACGUUAACAGAUAAGCAGAAAAAUGACGGUUUUCAGGUUGAAUCUUUUUUUGUAAAAGUUAAAAUUGUUGUACAGAAUGAAACACAUUUAAAGAUUUAUACAAGACUGAUCAUGUUUUAGCCGAAACAUUUUUGCCUUUACUUGGUGGGAUAGCUUCAGAGGGAAAUAAGACGCCCAGGUGGUACUUUUUAACUUUCCUUUAAGUAUUUUAAAGAUUUUAGUAGGACUGUUUUUGAGAAAGGUUGUUUUAAGUGUUUAAACGGUUUUAUUUUAAAACAACCAAAUUGAGAAACAAAUUGCCUCUUUUUUUUCAAAUUGCUGAUUCUACUACCAAGUUAAAAUCAUAAAUUAUGAACCAUAAUUACUCAGAAGUGUAGUGUGCAGUGGCAAUAUGAAAUAAAAGUCCAUCUGUCUGUUUGAAUAAGUGUUUUUGUUUUGUAAAAUUUGAAUUAUCCUUUUGCACCCUCACGCUUCUGCAGCUGCACAGAAUGGACAUAUAGUGACAUUCAUGUUUUUAUAUUGAGUGAAUUACAGUGUGAAUUGCACUGGUUGGGAGAUGAAGAAAAAGGUUGUUGUUGUGCACAAAAUAACUCGCACUGAUCAACAUUUUUGAUCAUAAAAAUUUGUCUUCAAAGGCCACUGUAGCUUCACUGAUGAAAGUGGUGAGCAAGGGAGCAUCUCACUCUCGAAGAUCACUAAAUAUUCACGUCUGUUCACUGUUUUUUAAGAGUCAUGGUAAUUUUGCAGAGUUACUGAGGUAUUUCAGUAUUUCAUUCACUUUUGUCAAAUUCUUUUUAUCAAGCUUGAACAUAUAAAAGGACUUCUUUGCGUAUUUUUCUUUGUAUAAUUCAAGUUUCAAGUCAGCUGAAGCACAGGGGUUCUGUUGCUCUCAUUAUUUCUUCUGUUUAGCACCAAAACCUCAAGAAUAAUUCCGCUUUUCUGUAAACAACUUUGCAGCAAACCUCAGUCUGUUCUGACAUCGUUACACAUGGUGGUUUGAGGGUCACGAUAAUCGUAUGGUUCCUAAAGAAGUGCAGUACUGUUUGACUCUUUUAGCAGCUCUUCCUUCACAUUUUUACAGAAAUACUGUAAAUUUUAUUGUUUCUUUUCCUGUCAAUUUUCCUGCUCACUUGCAACUACAUUUAUGUUUCUUCUUGUGUCACUAUUCUGCAUUAAAACACUGGAAAUGUUCAUGUUGUGUGAACCAGCUUCACAACAAGACUCAAACCACAGGACUCAAGACUCUUAAGAAUAUUGUAUUCUUACUAUGAUAUUGUAUUUAUGUAUAUUUAAGGCAGUCUUUAUAUCUCAUAAUUGAUCAAAGUGAAGAUUACAGUUUAAGUUUAUCUAUUUGUAUUUUAUGUCCCAAAACUAGUGAUGAUGUUAGUUCAGGCAGGCCAGGAAAACUAGUUAACCCACCUUAAACCUGGCGCUUAGCUGCUACUCUCUAUCUCAAGCUUUGGCAUUUCCUGUAUGCAUGUAGGCAGCUGUACAUGGGGGUCUUUGCUGCUGCUCUCUCUGCCUCAGGUUUUGGUUCUUCAGACCUCCAUGCUUAACACGCAUGCACAGCUGGAUCUGUUUCCUUGUUUUACUGCCACUGAAUGACAGCCGCUCCUUUAACUCCACCAAAGUUUACUGCAGUUUCACGUGGAACACUUUCUUCUUCACUGCUAGAAACUCCAGCAUAAUGGUAGUUUAUGGCUCUAGUGUGUGUCUAAAUGUGUUAGUGUGUGUCUGUGUGAGUGAGGAGUUGUGAUAAGGUGCGUAACUGUCACAUCAUAGCGCAGAGGAUCUAUCAGCUCUUAUCGGGCGGCGUUUCCGGCUGAGUUUGAGAUAGGAGGACGGAUUGGCGGUGAGAUGCAUCGCAGGUAUCUUGAUGAGGGUGGAGAUUAAAUUCCCAGGUGGAGAUUAGCUGGAAUCUGCCCCCUUGCCUUAUCAACCUGCCGACACAGAAUGAACUCUGACCCCGCAGCCUGCUUGGCAGGAAGUAGAGUUGACCUCGAUCCAGGUUCCAAUUACACUUCCGGGACAAAAAUCAUGCGUUUGUGAAACACGUGAACCAUUCCUUUAAAAUCUAAUCAUAACUAUGAGAAAGUUUACACAGGUGACAUGAGUUUAUGAAACACUUAUUUGAAAGAGUGCUUCAUUCCCUUUUUGAAGGAUCACAUUUUAUUGAAUAAGGACACAAUAACUGGAUUUUUAUGUACUUUUAAAAAUGGAGCAUUAGAAUGAAGUCGAAAACUUAUCGAGAAAAUCCAACAUCGAGCAUGAUUUCGUGAUUAUUUCCUAACUACAUUUACCCAAAAACCUACUUAAUUUUAAAUUUUUGCAAUGACUGAUGCUUUGUUUUAUUUCAUUUAAUUAAUUUUUUAAAUGCUUAUUUGUUCCUGUAGUUUAGGAACUUUUUCAGCUUACUCCCUGCGAUAGAGAACUUUUUCUAGCCUCUCAUAACUUUUCUUUCAGACUUAUCAUCGAAGUAUUUUUUAACACAAGGCAUUCUACAGAGUCUGUAUAAAGAUCGGUGGAUGAACAGAUGAUUCAGUGAGGUGGGACAGAUUACAGGGACACAAGUCACCACACUGACUGAACCUCAUUCUCUGCUCUGAAUGAAGCACACACACAGAAACACACACACUCACACACACUUGGGCUGCAGUAAGUCAGGCGUUGGGUAAAGUUUCUUAAAGUGGGUUAAGCGGCACAAGAAGGAUCUUAACCAUCACUUGACUCAUUCCUUCUUUUCUUUGCCCGACUUUCCUUUUCACAUGACUCGUCUUUGUUUAUCCAGCAACAAGUCACUCUCACAAGUCCGUCAUUCAGCGGCAGAUUGUGCAGUUAAGAGCUUAGCCGCAUAACUCAGAUGUCACAGGGCUGAAAGCAGUUUGGUUCAGCCCGUUAAUGUGUGUGCGUCCUCUGUGUGUGCGUGUGUCUGUGUACUCAGGAACACUCGUUCCAACGGUGUGCUAACCACACACACCUGGCCUGUUUCCUCCCAUGCUCAUAUAUGGGCAAAGCUUCCCCUACCUGGGCCCCACUCUGGAUUCCAAUAAGUGGCAGUAUGUGUGUGUGUGAGCGUGCGUGAAAGAGGCUGUGGAGACGGAUGCACGUCAUGGAAAACCAGGAUCAAUGGGCACGGCCGCAGAGCUGCGUUUUUAAGGUGUUCCUUUUGUUUUCCAAAGGUAAUCAGUGAACACAAUGACUCAGCCGGGCCGAGGCGGGCUGACUAUUCAGAGUGUCCGCAGCAAGACGACGUCAGAGAGAUGCAGCCGUCAUAUAACUAUUAUAGGAGAUAAUCCAAAUAUGAAGCAGGUACAAGAAACUCCCUAUAGAUCAGAUUUUAGAUCAAGAAUCCAGACAUGUCUUUGGUCAAUCAGCAGGAGCACUGAGCCAAAAGAGAUAUAGUCAACUGCUUUUGACUUUAUUUGAAAUAUUUUCUUUACCCUUCAUCCAAAGAGACUCUCUAGAGACUCCAAAAUACAUAAACUCAAAUUGUGCUGCUUGUAUUAAAGUUAAUCCAGCGAUGAAGCAGGUAGGAGAAACUUUAUUGUUAGAUAUUAGAUCAGGAAUCCAGCACUUAAUAGAAGUAAGACACACCAACAAAUAUUGAAACUUCAUUUUAAGAUUAUUUUCUGUUCUUGUUUUCUCAAGGUGAUUUUUAAAAGACCUACAAAGAUUUCUAGGGCACAGAAAGUCAGACUACAGACCUCUUUUUCAAUGUAAUCCAGCAUCAAAGCAAGCGAAACAAAAUCCCUGUGAGUCAUGUUUGAUAUUUAAAAUUCCACUCUUAAUUUCAGCUAAGCUGAGGCAUGAACUUUAAGGAAUAUUUCAACACUGAAUAUCACAAAUCCUUUGAAUUUUAACCUCAGUGACCCCCUUUAUCCCUAGAGACUUUUAAAGCAAAGUGCUUUUUGAUUGAGUCUUAAUUUUUCUUGCCUCAAAGGAAAAAUUUUUAAAACUUUACUGAAAAACUGAAUUCACGUUUUAAGAUUUUGAUGCACAAAUUCUUUCUGGAGGAUAUGUAAGAACAAGUGAAAAAAAGGUUUUAAAACACAAACACUGUGGAAAUGUAGGUGUUAUUUAAAGACACUAAAACCAAGAUCAGGUGCAUUAUAUGAAAAACGACUUUAACUUUCAAACAUUGAAAAAUACUAAUCUUUUUGUGAGUUGUUUCCUAAAAGUCUGGAUUUUCCCUACCUUAAACUUUUCAAGGCAUAUCUACGGUGGCCCUUGAGGUCAAGUGCACAACCAUUUCAUGACCACAAAAAGCAUUUCAUAGAGUUUUGAAAAACAUUCUUCACAUUUUGUGAAUUAGUUUUGCAUUUUGUUAAAUAUAUUGUCGUGUUUUGUGAAAUGUUUUCUGGUUAGUAACUUUUUGAAUUACCAUUUUUUUGUGUUUUGUAAAGCGCUUUUACUUUCUGUAAAAUAUUUUUGUUUUGUAAAUUGUUCAUGGAUUUCAUGACACAUUUUUUUGUGCUCAUGAAAUGUUUGUGAAUGUUUAACGCUUUUAAAAAGAUUUUUUAAGACCUAGUGCGCAGUUAUGUAUAUAUAUUUUAGCUAGAACUAAAACUGCAGUUAAUUAAUACCAAAAAUUAAAAAAAAUUCAACAGUCAAGCCAAUACUCAGUCAUUUUGACAGUUAAAACUUUAAAAACUAUUUUAAAGCUGUUUGAGUCUUUUUUUUUAAAACAAAAAACUCUAAAGUACAAGUUUUCAUAAAUGCCAUGAAUGUUCAGUUUUAUCUUAAAAUACAGAGAAGUUUGGCAAGUUAAUGAGUGCACAGUUUUUUGUUAAUAUGUAACUGUAUAUGUAUGCAAAUUCUUCCACAUACACUUAAUCAUUAAAAAUCUAAAGCUUAUAUAUUUCUUUGGGAUUCUCCUUUUAAAAGCUUUAAAAUCAAACUUAUUUAUCUCUAAUUUCAGGAUGGAUUAGAUUACGAUCGAUAAAAUCCUCCGAGAAAAGUUCACUUAAUAUAACUUAAAUAAUGGCAUCCGCUCAUGUCUGUUAUACCGGAGGGAUUACUUCAUCAAAAUUCAACUUCUUGAAUAUAAUUACAGAUUCUGAGAUGAUAAAAUUAACCGGCACCAAUACUUCCUCAAUUUAACUUCUGGUAUUUUAACAUCUCUUAACUCUGCAUUGGUUUUUGUCGUAAAAAUCUGUAUAAUUGAGCUAAUGCUGUGUGAAUUAUGUAAGUCUAUAAAUGAUCAUAGAUUUUUCAAGAACACUUUUUUGGGACUCUUAUCAAACCAGUGGAUCCAAAACUAUAAGAAGAAAUAUAGAAACAUGGUCAUGAUAUUCUUUAAGAGCCUGGAGACACUUCUUGUCUCCUAAAUCUGUUUGGCCUAAAGCUUGUACGAGUUACGCUCGAUCUUUAAAAGGUUUAUUUAAGAUUAUACCAUUUCUGCAAAUUUUGCAGUGCAUGCAUCCUAAAGUGAAAGGUCACAAAGAGACGAAGGACGAUACUGCGUGUAAGAGGGAAGCUUUUACUUUCUGUUGCAUGGAGAACGAAGGGUUUCUGCAUCUUUGGGUUUCAUUUAAGAUAGAUUUAUUCAGGAUCAGACCCUGUGAGAGGCUGUCUCCAGAAGGAUAAACCCUGUGACCCCACAAAGGUCAAAAGGUGAGGGAGACUCCUUCUUUCCCUCCUCUUUCUGUACUCCUCUGUUUCUCCCUCCUCUGCCGCCUCCUUUCUUCGCUUGCUGCACGUUUGCCAGGCCUUCAUAAAGCAGCUCGAGGAGGGAGUUAGCUUUCCUCGCUCGUGUUGCCAACUCUUUCCCAUCAGUCCAGCCCCCUGGAAGACUCUGCAGACUCCCCACUCUCCCUCUCUCCCUCUCUCUCCCCCGGCCUAAAGCCGAGCCUGGGGCUGGGGGACGGGGUACAGGCCGUUGUGUUCGAGGUGGGGGCUCCCUCUGGAGAAGCUCUUUGCAGGCCUGGAUUUAGUCUGCACCUCCACGACAGCCACCAAGCAACACCCAGAGGAAGCGUUUGAGAUCGGCUUACAUAUGAAGCCUGGUUCAUCUCCUGAGUUUUAAAAUGAGGAUAGAAAGAAAGUGGGAGAUGGUGGAAAAGGAGGGGGAGACACAGAAGGGGAAAGACUUUGGAGAGCGAUGAGAGGUGGCGGGGAAGACGGAGACUCCAUAACCUUGGUGUCUCUGCAGAAUCAGACACAUUGGCUUCGUCUCUUUGGUUGGACACUUUCACUCAACCGUAACGACCGAUCAGACGAACAGACCGGGCUUUAAUGGAAGCUGAAGAGCUGAGAACUGAUAUCUGAUUGGCUGUCGGCCUCGUGGAACAACUGCUUAAUUGGUGGCGAAACUGGUGGCGAGCGCUGCAUCAAGACAAGACCCUGUCUGCAAGAUGACUAACAGAUGAGAGAUCGAAAUGAUUGGUGCAGGAUUCAUGAACAAAAAUAAGGGAAGCGAUUUCUAAUGUUGGAACUUUUCAUCAGUAUCGAGGAGGGCAGGGUCCUCUGUGCAAAAGGAACAAGGACCAAAACCAACGCUGGAUGGAUCUUACGGUCAGCACUGCAUUGAAAACAGACAGGACUCUGUAGUGGAAAUCACUGAUCACUUCCAAAAACCAUCAUCUGUGUCCACAGUUCAUCACUGCAUCCACAAAUGAGGUUGAAACUGAACCAUGCAAAGAAAUAAACAGAUAUAAACAUGAUCCAGAAGCACCAGAGACUUCUCUGAGACCUGAGGAAUCAAAAUCGGACAUUCUUACUGGUAAUCAUGGUCAUUGCGUCCUCCACUCUAAAGAACAGAGGGACCAUCUGGCUUGUUAUCAGCUCACAGUCCAAAGCCAGCAUCCCUGAUGGUAUGGGGCUCAGAAGUGUCCAUGGCAUGGGAAGCUUCCACAUCUGUGAAGGAGCAACAUCUGCUGACAUCCAGACAAUGACCUUUUCAGGGAAGACCUUCAUAUUUCAGCAAGGCAGUCAGUUCAUUUACAUGACACUCGAGAAUACCGAAUUAUUGCCUUAUUCCGAUUAAGACCGAACAACUGAAGUGCACGUAAACACCUUAGUCCGACUAUAAUCGGAGUUUGAGAACUCUGAUUAAGACACCCAGAUAAUGCGAUUGGAAUUCGAUUUUCUCUACCAUGUAACCAGCGUAGACGGAGUAUGAUCGGACAAUGCAUGUGUGUACGCCACACCCUUGUAACCCCGGAACAAAAACACCAGAGAAGAGGAGUAGUGUGCAUCUCAUCUUCAGAAAAAGUAGCCCGUUCAUCAUGUACAACAAAAACGACACUGUACGAUGCUCCAUCUUCUUGCUUGGAAAUGCCCAGCAGCAGUUGUAGACACUUCUGACGUCUGGCAUGGACCUGCUGCUGUUGUUGACCGUUGUAUGGGGUCGGAUACGCGCCGCUGAAAAGACCCAUAUCACCCACAAGUUUUAGGGAGAAGGACACGUUCGCAUCAAUAAUUCGUGGACAAGGAGACAAGUCCAAUUUGGCGGAAAGAACGAAUUAUGAGCUUUGUCCGAUCAAGCUGUGCAUGUAAACGCACUGAAUGACCGACCACAUUCUGCUGGGAUUACAACAGCGUGGCUCUGUAGUAGAAAAGUCCUGCCUUAUAACUUUUUGAGCAUCAUGACACAAAAAAAAACAGGACAAAGGAGACCCUGGACCAUUAAGAACACGAGGCUUUUGUAUUUUAAUAAAUGUUAGAGUAGAUGAAUUUUCCCCAGUAUGUUAAGAACGAAAGAAAAGAUCGCUUUAGACUCUAGAUGGUGUUUCAGUGAAGGUUACAGGGACUUCAGGUCGAGGAAGGGAGUGCUGGGAAUCCUGAGGAAAGGGUGAGGAUGGGUGAUGCAGGGGGGGAGGACGGGUGAGGCCAGGCGUGCCUUCCAUUCCUGCCUGCUCGGGGUGAGGCUAUUCCUAGAGUGUGGUGGAUGGCAGUUGAUGUGGGUUUCCUCUGAGCUGCCUGGAAGAUGACUGGCCCUGACCACAUCCACAUUCACACACGCACACACGUACACACACCAGACACACAGUGACAACUGUACAGCAAACACACACAUGCAGAAACAUACACACAUUCACAUGCAUAAACACACACGUUGUAAGGAGAGGAAAGAGGAACUGAAUCAUUACGCUGCCUCAGCCUCUAAGCUGGGGGUGACCACUGUACAACUAUUUGUGUGUGUGUGUGUAUGUGUGUGUCUGCAUGUGUGUGUGUGUGUGUGUGUGUGCAAAGAUACGUUGCAUUUCUGCAGUAAAGAGACAUCAGCUCUUUGGUUGUGUGUCUGGGCUGUUUGUUGCUCAAGUAUGUGUGGGCAUGUGUGUGUGGGCGGGUGUGUAGGAUGUGUGAGCUGGGUGUGGAUGCAUUCCCUCAAUGUGUGUGUGUGUGUGUGUGUGUGUGUGUGUGUGUGUGUGUGUGUGUGUGUGUGUGUGUUUGCCUCCCUCCAUCUGUAAAGCUUAGGACUCAGUGUGUUCGGUUAUUCUCCAGAAAAAAUAAACCUGGAAAUCUUACAGUGUUCAUUAAAAUUGGCUUCCUGAAUUUUUCAAAAUCCAUAUUUUGCAUGCAAACACAUUCUGCACAAAGUCUUUGAUUCACACGCAACUGCAAACGUGACGUGCAAAGUCCUUUUGAAUCAAGACAUACAGCGUUUGCGUGAACAUAAUGAGUGACAAUUAGCUUAAAUUUCCCUGCAUGUGCUUCAUUUAGUAUUCGAGAUUGGGUUUUGGUUAUAUUUCAGUAUUUAUUUCCAUCUAUAAACCGGCAUAUGUAGAGAAGUCCUCCCUUUCUGUCCUGUAACUCACAGGCAUGUAUUUCAAAAGGCUCUGCUGGUUGGAUUCACUUGUGCAUAAACUCAAGCUGAUUGUUGCCUUCUUGAACAAAAUAGAAUAUUCAUCUUUGUGCUUUCAUCUUAUGCUCAAAAAACAGUUUUCUUGCUGAUGUUGUUGCAUAAACUUGACCAGAAAGCAUUUAGAUCCCCUUAUUUCUCUAUCCACCCUCACCUGCAUUUCUAUAGAAUCUAUGAAGGAGACUUCUCAUUUUCUAAUCACUGAUAAAUCAUCUGUAUUUCAUGUGGAAUUUAAAAAAAAAACAUAUUUUUGCAACAUAAUGGUAUUCAGAUUCACCAAAAUUAAAGCUUUAUAUCAAACCAUGUCUGAGUGGGGAUAGACUUGAGUUUGGUUUCUCAUGAGUUAUUUUUCAGUCUGUUUUAAACUCGGAUCACAAAGAGAAAAGAACGUUUUGAAUUUCCUCUGACCUCACCCUGCUAUCAUGUCGAGUCCCACUAAGCAAAGGCUUCAGUUUCGAUGGAAAAAUCAGAUGAUAAAGUGACUUCAGGUACAUCUGAGCUCUCUGGCAGCAUCACCAAAGCGUGGAAAAAAAGACAGAGAUAAGACAUGGAAGACGUUAUCAGCUUAUCUGUCGCCCUGUGAGCUUAUUCAGGCUCGCCAGUCUGGACCUGUCAAUAUCACAGUCCCUCUCGAGGUGCCGAUGACAGCUAUGACAAACAGCUGGGAAUCCUGAUUUAACCUGUAUCACGAUAACACGACAAGUUUCUGACCUCCCGUUUUCUUUCUUUAUGUUUUUCAGGUCGUCUUUUGUGCACCAGCUCUUCCACAAAUACCACCCGUGUGCUUCUAAAUCUACACCAAGCAGAGGUAAGAAGUCGUCCCUCGAUUUCUGCAGUUUUCUUUUCAUCUCUCUUCUCUGACUCCCACACCUCCACCCUCUUUGUGCAAACUGUAUUCCCUGCAGCAGAGAACAGAGCCCGAGGCAACAUCCCUUUACACCUCUUCAUAUCCCCCUUCGUUUAAAGCUUCGGCAGAGAGAGAGAAGGACUGAUGAUAACUCUUAAAGUUCACAGGUCAAAUCAGUCAAUACGCUGUCAGAGGAAAGAGGGAAAAAGCACAAGUCACACAACCUCUUCAAACCUUUUUCUCCUUUCGUUUUGUUGAUCCAAAGCUGCAUCAUGGAAGCAAACAGUGUUCCUCAGGGUUGUUAGAAAAGUAUUGAAAUUGACGCGAGUUUAAAAAAGUUCAGACAAGACAGAUGUUGAAGAAAAAUAUUUGUAUUGCAAAGCUCUUUCCACUUUUUUGAUGAGUGAAAAAGACAGAUCUUCAUUUGUGUUUCUUAUCUGCCUUUGUUAGGGGGAAACAGAUUGCGGGGCUGCAAGCUGAGCCGUUGACUGUGCACAGUGUUGGGAUUUCUCAAAUAAUUAUGUCUUUCUAAGCUUUUUCCAAAGAGCCAAAAUAUCCACAGAAGUCCUCUUCUCUCUGAGACAAAAAAAAUGAGUCAGUAAAAACCUGUUAACUACCUGAAAGAGACGGUUUACUUGAAAAUUCAGGUUUUUUUAAUGCACUUUGGUGAAGCCAGCCUGGUACAUUAACAUUAACUGCUGCUGACUUGUUUUCUAGCUAUACAAUCAGUUGAAUUAGUAAGAGAGAGUGAUUCAACAACUUUUAGUGCAUUAAGGAAAACAUUGAUUGUAAUUUUUAGUAGAAAACAAGGACUAUUUUAGCGGUAAAAUGUGAGACACGAUAGGCUGAUUUCUGAAUUUGCUGAAGUGUUGAAAUGCAUUUAAAAAACUGAUAGUCAAAGCUUUAUUCUUCACUCUUCCUUGCCAUUAAAAUCUAGUUAAACUGACAAAAUGAACAUCAGGUUUAGCCCUAGAAUAAUCAUACUCAGAUGUACUUUUUUGCCUGAACAAAACUAUUUGUUGCAUUGAAAUGUAACCCUGGAAAGGUCUGGAAUAUUGCGGUGAAAUAGGUAAAAGGUGAGAGAGAAAUAGAGACGGACAGAAAGAGCAGAGAUGGUGACAGAGAGCUGGAAUGUGAGACAGAGAGGGAGAGCGUCCAGCAGCACAUUUCCCUUAAUAAAAAGAAAUUGGAGUCAAGUGAUGAUCAGCUGGUCAGAGGACGUUUGAUCAAUACGGUCACGGGGCCUCAGGUAUGCAGAGCUCGGCGUGUGGCGUGUGACCGCAGAGAGAGGGAGAGGGAGAAGGAGGAGGGAGUCCUCCCUCUCUCACCUCCCGCUCCUCUCCUUCUGUGGUCACCUGUGCAGGUCGUCCUUUAUUGACCCGGGUCAGCUCUCCCAUUCUUGGCCUGGCUGAGAAUUGGAGCCCGCAUGGUGGUGGUCACCGCCUGUCGCGCCUCGGGGCUAAUGGGAAAGAAUGACAGGAAUCUGCAACUGAUAAUGCCACGCUAGGAGAAGUUCGUCAGCAGAUAAUCUCCCAUAUCCUUUCCUCUCCACCCUCAGGCUGCUCUUCUUCUCCUUCUUCAGAGAUACAGAAAGAAGUGUUACUUUAGAUACUUAUUUUUUUAUGCUUUGAAGAGAAGAUGUCCUGAUUUUACUUUUAUCUGCAGAGGGAAAAAAAAUUGCUGAAGUUUUGGUUGUUUUAACAAACACUACUCUCUCAGUUAGCAGCACUUUCUUUUACGUCAUUAUCACAUGAUUUUUACCAGCAAUUCUUCAAGAAAGCUGCAAGUCUUUUACUUGCACAUAUUUGUUUUAUCUGCUUGCAAAACUUUCCAAAAUUGUCAUGAAAAACCGUCAGCAACACUGUGAUUAAACGCUGCAUCAUUUUUACCCUCCCUUAAUUGACUUUUUACUUUUAUUUCGCUGUUCCUUCAUUCAUCAGCAUAUAUCUAAACAGUUUGGUGUUAUUAAUUCAGUGUCUGGUGUCUUUCAUACCUGGCCAUUUUCUGCAGUCCACAGUGACCUUCUUUAGCAUUUUUUUACCAUAUCAUCACACAGCAGGUCCUGGCAGAAAAGAGCAGCAUCUGUUUGCUGCUAAAAUCUCACUGAGGUUUAACCCUGAAAUGAGUAUUACCUUGUUAAUAAUUAAUAUCAACGGGUUUCAUCUGUAGAAUCUUAAGCAGUUGCAGUAAACCAGUAUUAAUGACAAUGACUUUUUUAAAUGAAUUAAUUCUUGAUAUAACACUAAGUGGACCUGAAUGAUGGUUUCCAGUUCAGUUCGGUAACUUAUGAUCUACUAGAAGUAGUAUAUUUCAAAAUAAAAGCACAGUUUGACAUUGCAGGAAAUAAAGAAAACUAAAUGAAACACAGAAAGAUAUAUUAACAAUUAAGCCAGACCAACUAUAAUUUUUUGAGGUCAUGUCUUCUCCAAAGAAGUUUCAGUCACAGGGCCGCUGAUGUGGAUAAAUCAUAAACUUGUACAUUGUUGUGUAAAUUACUGAUGACUGUAAGUUAAUUGUGUUUAUUACAUUUGUUUAUGAAGUGUUAUGUUGCCCCACUCUUGUCUUGCCUUUUCUCUGUAUGUCUGAUUGUGAUGUUUUUAUUCGUGUUUUCCAUAAAUACUACAACAAUGUCUUUAUUGUGACAUUUUAUGGCGAUGAUAAUCAAGAGUUAAAAAUCUGAAAUCCUGACAGCCCUCAUGUGCUCAUCAUUGAAACGAAACAGUUUGAUUUUCUGUGAAUAUUUGUCAUAUUUGUGAGGCCUGGAAGUUUCUAAAGAAUCUGAAGAAUCUGACAGUGCUCCUCUCUAAAUAUGUAAAAAUGAAAAUCUGAAAUGACCCUGCUGCCUGGAUGUAUUUAUGAGACAAACAAAGUGCUCUUGGUGGGAUUAAUGAAAUGUUCUGAUUGAUUUAUUGAAACACCUCCUUCUUCAUCUUUUCCUGCUCACCUCCCAUCAUCACUCAGGUCUUCAUAGAAAUGUUUUGUCUCUUUUCCCCUUGUUAUCCCCACUUAUCAUGUUUCUAAAGUCUUCUUUCUCUUCUCUCUCUCCUCAGAUUUGUCUCCAGGAGUUUGCUUCCCGUCCCUCUGGGCGUGACCGAAGCGUUCGCCCUUCACGCUUCACGCCUCUGUGGCUGCUGUCAGUUGCUCAGUAGGCAGUGUAGAUCCUGUGUAGCAAUCAGCAGCUACAUCUGGCUACUGGGUCUCUGACGGCUCGGCCUACUUCCUGGUUGAACCAGUCCAAACCCUGCUCCUAUUGGCUGCCGGUGCAUUCCAAUCCUGCGAUUGGCUGCGACGAGAGGGGGGCUCCAUCCUGUGACCCCACAGACAGGAUGUUCUCUGUGUCACAACUCCACAAGGGGCCCUUGUCAAGGCUUUUUUCUCCUCUUCCUCUUCCUCUUCUUCCGUCAUUCUUCUUUUAAUUCUGCCUCUCUGCCUCGUGCUCUGAGAGAUCCUCUUUGUACUAAAAACGCUGGGAACACAAACCCACAAAAGCAUAUUAGGGAUGUUUUUAGGUCUUGUGAUUAUGAUAGUGAUGUUAAAACUCAGCAUUUUAAUCAAAAUUCAAAAUCGUAUAAAUUUCUAAAAGUCUGCUGACAUAGGCGCCUAAUGAGGUGUGUUGAAGCUCAGGUACUUGUUUAAAAGAAAAGGUAAAAAUCAGACAAUCAUUAGUAAGAAACUAUUGAAUUGUUGGCAUUUGAAGCGCCUGGAAGAUACAGUCAGUUUGUGUUGAUUUUGGCGCCCCCUGUGCAAAGAGCAGCAUCUCUUUACGGAAACAGCUUUGAGCUUUAACAAUAACCACAUAAUAAGUCUGUCUUUAUGCAGAUGAUCUCAUUUGUUUUGUGGAUCACAGUGGCGUUUCAUGAGCUUCAAUUUCUCUAAAUGUUUCUGAGUUGGGUUCGAGUCAAUUCCUCCAAAUUAAAUUACUCUACGGGUUCUGUUCUUUAGUUAGUUAGGUUUUUUGUAUUAGUGCAAAAACGAUCAUAAAAAAGGAAAGAGACAUCUGCAUACAAAUUGCACAUGUAGGAUAAAAAAAAAGGGGUCUAGGUGUUCACAAAGGUCGAAAAGUUUUUAUUUAAGUGUUUCAAUUGAUGCAGACACUUCACUGUAAAAAAACGCGUAUUAUAGUCUACCUGCAGUCCCUUCAUUGUCCACCAGGAGGCUAAAUAGGAACAUUAGUCUUUUAAUUAGGCAAGUAUUCGAUUUUUCGACACUGGUGGUUUGUUUUUGACUGAUAGCUAUGAAUACUUUAUCUUCUAUCUUCUAUUUCUCCAUCAUUUUAACCUUUACAUUUCUCUUUAUCGAUUGCGAACUCACUACGUUGUCAGGUUUUCCGACACUAUUUCAAAUAAAGGAAAUCGGUCUGAUUUUUUAGGCUAACUUUGAAGGAACUUUAAAUAUCCUUGGUAAGAGAUAAUUAAAGGUGAUCAGAAAUGCCCUCGGGGAGAUGUUUGGCCAAAGGAAAAGUCUGAAUCGCUGCAUAUUUUCAGAAAUGAACCUUUGCUCUGUCCUGAACCUGGCAUACAAUGUAGAUUUCUGUGUGGUUCAAUUCUACAGCUACAUUGUCUGCUGGGUUUCUGGCUAGCAAUAUAAGCCCCCUGUUAUAUAAACCUUCCACACAGGUAAGCAUUCAUGUGUUCUGUCAAUGUGCCUCACAUACCUGACCUUGACUAUUCAAUAAAAAGGAAAUAUUUCACCUAAAUACUACUGAGUGAGUGACUGUCGUUUGUCAGACUGAAUAUCACAUUUGAAGGCAGGAAAUCUGGAAUCUGCAGAAUCUAAAUUGAUCGAGUGUUGCCUCUGCGUCCCUGGAGUUAACCCCGAGCUGGAGAUGCCAGGAAUAUUCUAGUAACUCAGCACAAAGCCAGCUCGUUGUCUGUCAGGAGGAUGUCAGACUGCUGUCAGACCAGCUCCUUAUUAGUGGGACAGAACUGUCGCAGCCAACACACACACACACAUUCACAGAUACACACACCUGGGAUUAUACCAAAACUUCAUAAAAACCAUCAAUGCCUUCAGCAGAUAUUUGGCAAUCCAUCCUCAGGGUGCAGAAGAGAAAAUCAAACAUUUCAUGGCGCUUUGCUCAGGGUUGCUCAGCAGAGAGACAUUAUCUUGAACAAUCGCACAACUUCAGGUGGCAAAUUGAAAGCCCACACCUGGGUGUUUUUCAGGUGAUUUGAAGCUUGUCUAAAAAUGAAACUCAAAUAUGUCCCCUGUUUGUAGCCGUUGUUUUUGUUAAAGGUCCUUGCAAGAUACAAAAACAAGUACACACAAACAGGACAUUGCCAGGACACUGAUGAAAAAGAGACUUUUAAUCCCAAUGAGUUAUGUGUCUCCAGGUUUAAUAAAGAAUAAAUAAAAUGAAAAUGAAAAGCGUUUAAUCCUGAGGAUACUUGGCUGAGGGACUGCUGAUGUUGGAUCAAACUCUCACACCUUCAGGGCACUGGUUGUUUAACGUGUAAUUUUCACCUGAGUGGUUUGGAACAAUUAACAUGUCAAAAAUAAAGGAACACAAAAACGUCCCCACUUUGUAGAUGUGUGACAUGACAAAAGUUCCCUGAUAGAUAAAAAAGCAAGCACACAAAAUUCACACGGAUAAAUUAUUUCAAAAUUUAACAAAAACCAUCAAUACCUUUAGUUGAUGUCUGGCAUACCAUCCUCAGUGUGCAGCAGUUGUAGACAAACACUUUAUGGACUAUGAGUUGCUUUGAGUUUUUCAUAUACCUUCUGGUUGCUGAAAGGUUUUAAAUGUAGAAUUUUAAGAGUAGUUUUGUAAUUUGUUGGAAUGAUUCAAGCACAUGCAAGAAGGUGUUUGGGAUUUCCUCCUUUAGUUACAUCUAUGUAUUCCACCAAAAUUUUAGCUGAAAGAUGUCAGUACAAAACGAAACACCCUCGGGUCUUCUGGUGGCAAAAGUGUUCAUCUCCUGGUUUCCAUGUAAUUUAAACACCUGUUGAAUCUGCAUCACAGCACUCUGUCUAUUUGGUGCAAAUGCUGCUUCUUCAAGAAAUCUUUGUUGUUAUGACGGCUUCACAGGUGACUCAAAGAUUUGUUUUUCCCUCCUCAUGAGGCAUGUUUUACAAAUUACUUUGGUGUUAUCCUCCUCUGAAACUCUAGCUGCAUUCACAUAGUGCAUUUUAUCGAGACUGUCAAAAAGCCCAGUGAAUAAAAUUGUUUGAUUUAUAAACCUUAUUCUGAAUGACCACACCAAGGGGUAAUAUCAGCCUUUUCAUAAACUGUUCAAAAUAAAUAGUUUUGGUAGAAAAACUCAACUUACUUCGUUGAAAUGUGCAGGUGUGUUACCAAGUAAAUAAUAUCAACUUUACUGAUUGGUUUUACUAAUUAAUAUUCUAUUAUCAAGUUAAUAAAUAAUAAUCAAAUAUUCUGUUUACUGAGUUGACAACCUGUCUGUCUGAAUCCACUGUGCAUCCUUUGUCCUAAGUAUUAGGCUACAUUCAUACUGCAGGUUAUGAUGCACAAUUUUGGAUUUUUUUGUUAAAUCCGAUUUUUUUUCUCUAGUCGUUCACAUUACAACAACGAAUGCGGCAUCUAAUGUGAACAGAAUGCGUCCGUGAAGUGACCUGCAUGCGCACAAAGCACAAAUUGCUUUCCGUGCCUAUUUGUGUCCCGAGUGUCUACACUGCAGUCACAUCAGAUACAUAUCCGAUUUAUAUCCACAUACAAAAGAGGCCUGUGUCGGAUCUGAAAAAAUCAGAAUUGCACUGUUCACACUAACAUGAAAAAAUCUGAUUUGUUUCACAUAUGGUCAAAAAAUCAGAAUUGACCUACAGUGUGAACAUAGCCUUAGAGGUCGAUAGAUAUAACUUUUCAGUGGCUGAUGCUGAUUCUCAUAAUACGAGAGCAGGUUUAAAUGUAAUAUGUAUUUAUAAUUAUCACAUAGUUUUGUUCUACAUUUGACAAUUGAGUAAAAAUUAACAAAUGAGAAACAGACUUACUAAACUUCGAUAAAUAUGAAAAACAAAUGGGUGGUAGGGGUAAAGCUCUGCAGUAAUUUGAUCCAUGUAUAAAACAGAUUUAUUCUUUCAUUUAAAUGACAGUGAAAAACGUCAGCAUGGCUCAUUUUUCUGCUUUCAUUUUUUGUAAUCUAUUUGUCUGCUUCAGUUUUUGGUCAUUUUUCUAAAUGUUUGUAUUUUGUAACCCUGUUUUAAGCAAGAAAUGUCAUUCAUGCAUGAUGCAAUGGUGCAUUCAUAUUAUUUCAUAUGAAAAUUAUUGGUAUAUUUCUAAACAGACUUAUUUUUUUCAAUCGGUUUUACCCCUGUAGGUGUCUUACCUAUUUGUAAUGGAAAUAUUUGAAUAAAAGUAAAAACAAAACAUUUUCCAUUCUAGUUUAUGGAUUUUUAAUGCAACAUAAUGUAUGUUGAUGGAUACAAUCUUAAGAAAAAGAUCAUUUCUACUUUAAAAUGUUUGUGCUUUCCCACUCUGCAAAAUGAUGCUAGCAUGGUGUCCUGGUUACAGCAGAUCUACGCUGGUUAAUGUGGCUUUGCAGGAUAAAAAAAGUGCCCCUCUUAGUGUAAUUAUACUGGAUUUGCAUUCAUAAUGGACUCCUCUCUACCAUCAGAACAGGUCGUACCUGUUUCAGCUCUCGAGCUGUUAAAGUUCAUCCUCUCUCAGCGGGGUGAAUCCAUCAGGACCGAGUGUGAGAAUCCCAACAAUGUGAGUGGUUGUUAAUGGGCUGUACUGGGAGGUGUGUAAGUGUGUGUGAGUGUGUGGGCGGUUAUUGUUGCUUUGAUAAGCUGUUGAUGACGCCAGCGGUGCGAGGUCUGCGUGCACAGUCAGAGUGAAAAACAACAGGACAGUAAGAGAAAAGAGGAGAGAAGUAUGAAAGAGGAGAAAUGAAGUAGAGAGAGAGAGAGACAUUUGUCGUCAUGUUUUACACACGGAGGAGGGAGGUGAAGGUGAUGUUUGGGAAGGUAGCGCCGCUGAUGUCAUCAGUACACCUCACCUCAAACAAACACUGUGACGGUCUGAUCUGCGUCACUGUGACAUGUUAUCUGAGUGACCUCUGCAGACGACUCGACCAUCAUUAGACCUGAACAUGUAAAACAACGAAAGGUUUAAACCUUCGAUAACAACAUACAGAUUUUACGUUAGCUUUGGUAGCUUUGGUAGCCCCUUACCUGUCUCUCUUUCUGAGCUGCUAGUUUUUCUCUACAUUAAAAAAAAAAGGUGUUAAAUUUUUAACACAAUUAAUUGCAACGACAUAAAUAGAAAUAUUUGGGACUUUAAUUUCUCUGCCGAAGCUUGCGAGAUUGAAGAAGUGUGUUUUUCUGUUUUUCCAGUCUGCAGAUUGAACCUCCGACCCCUCACACAUCACCUUUAAAAGCUCAGUCCUUACUCUGACUUUGUGUCACAUCCAUCAAAGUUUCUGAGUGAACGGAGAUCUGCAGCAGAUGAAACAGGAGCUGCUCCAGAAACCUUUCUCUGUCUGAUAUUUUACAGUUUCCUCUGAAUGUCAACUCCUUUCAGACCACAGAGUCUCAGUCAGGCUCUGCUUUUUUACUUGAAUGGAAUUAAACGCAAGGUUAGGAGAUUAAAAAACACAGAUCGGCUCUUGUGUUUCACUGACAGUGAUAAAACCAGACUCCGCUCAAGCUGAAAGGAUUCAUUUACUCAGAGUUGUACAGUCUCGGCUGAAUCCUGGUUCAUUUUUAAACUCCAGAUCCUCUCUAAAGUCGCUAUAGUGAAUGAGGAGUUUGUUAUUCAGUCAAGGUCAAGACUGAACCUACAGAGACUGAAUCGUUGAGAGACUGUGUGAGCUAAAAGUUCAACAGUUUCAGGAUAAAGUACCUGAAAGGAUAAGUGGAUUUCAUCAUCUUCAGAGAGUCUGGAGAAAUCUCUGUGCAAAAUAGACAAAGACCAAAACCAAUACUGGAUGGCCCUGAUCUUCAGGCAUUAGAAACAGACAGGACUUUAUAGUGGAAAUCACUGCAUGGGCUCUUCAUCACUUUCAAAAACCGUUGUCUGUGAACAGCUUUGUGUCCAAACUCUUAUUUUGGACAAUAAAAUUCUACGUAUAAAUGUUACGUGCAUUUAGACUGGUAGUCAGUCUGCCAAAACUAGAGGAAUAUUUGCUCAUCUUGUUCCACCACCAUCUUUCCUCCUGACGCAGAUGAAAAAAAGAAAGGCAUGGAGGUAAACAAACAUGACUGACCACAUCCGUGUUUAGAUCCAACAUGUUCAGAGACAACCGCUACCAGAGCUGAACAAGAACAUAUUUAAUACUUGAUGACGCAUCCUGAAUCAUGACAGUUGUGUAAAACCUUAAAUCCAAUCUGGUGACUCAACCCCCUCUUGAAAGACAAUCCAACAGAUCGAGGGGAGAGAGAGCAGUAAUCACACUGAGUCCGUCUCUGCUUUGGUUUCACCAUAUUACACCAGAAACUCAAACUGAUGGUGAGCGCGGCAAAUCCGAACACGUCUACACCUCAUAAUCUCUUACCAAACUCGCUGAGUCACUGUUUGCAGAGGAGGAUUUACCACAGAAUUUGGUGUGAAGGCGUCCCGAUGAUCUCUGACCUUUAAGCAGAUGUGGGAUGUCACGUAAUGCACGUGUACUUGGAUUUAGUCUUUAGAAAGUCUUUUAUUCAGGUCAAUACAGAAUUUCUGUUCACCAACUGUUGAUGAUUUUCACAUUGGGAUUAUUAUGGCCAAAAAUAUAAUAUUAUUGAGAUAAUUAUGACAUUUUUAGAAAGAAAAUGACACACUCUGUCAAAUCAAGAAAAAUACAAGCAACAGAUUUAUGUAAAUGUAAAUGUUCUUUAUUUUUACAUCCCUUUACAACAACCCUUUCAGUGAACCAAAGUGCUUUACAAUACAUAGAACAUUUAAAUGAAUUUAUAAAAAUAAUAAAAAGCAAUAAAAGCAAUAGAAAAAGAAUAAAAUACAAUGCAAUAAAAUGAAGUGUCACUGCGUUACAGGGUAUUAAAAGCCAGCAUAAAUAAGUACAUUAUCAAUCUGGAUUUGAAAAAGUCCAGUUCGGAAAUAAGUCUUAUUUCGUAGGGGAGCUUCUGAAAAGGCUCGGUCACCCCAGUGCUUGGUACCUCCAGCAGAAGUUGAUUCGACAACCUCAAAGCUCUAUCCGGCUACCGAGCAGUUAAAAGCUCAGUUAAAUAGAUGGGGGCGAGGCUGUUAAGAGCUUUAAAAACAAACAUUAAAAGUUUAAAAUCAAUCCUAAAAGAGACGGGAAGCCAACGAAGAGAGCUGAGGACAGGAGUGAUGUGCUCACGUUUGUUUGUUUUAGUUGGCAGCAGCAUUUUGGACGAGUUGAAGGCGACUAAGAGAUCAUUGGGAGAUGCCAACAUAAAGCGCAUUACAAUAGUCUAAUCUUGACCUGAUUAGAGCAUGUAUGGCUAUCUCAAGGUCAUGACGGCUUAAAAACAUUUUGACUUUGGCCAAGAGACGUAGUUGGAAGAAACUAGUCCUGACAACAUUGUCAAUUUGUUUGUCAAACUUCAGGUGUUAUGAAUAAACUUCACUAGUACCUUAUUUUUCACACUAUAAGGCGCACUUAAAUUCCUUUUGACUUGUCGGAGCACUGCAGCUACCGUAGUUUAUUAAGGUUUAUCUAGGUAUUGUCUUAGUAUGGAAACUCUGCUGUGAUAUAGUUCAAUUACAUGAUAUCAAAGACGGAUUCCAUGUUUUUUUUUAGUGUGUGCUUUUAAAUUUUGUUUCACUUUUUCCAACAUUGGUCUUCUUCAUGCCAAGAAAACCUGCGUGUUGUUUAACACUCAAAAUCCUCAAGGUAACUCUAUACUAGAAGAAAAAUCCAAUGCAACUCUUCUAAGGUAUUUGAUCAAGCAGACAAAGAUUUGCUUGUUUUAUCUUCAUAUCAAUCAUGUCAGUUUGGACUAACCCCUCCUACAUCUUUCACACACAGUCUCUGCUUCCUCUGCAGCCUGAAUGGAAUAAGUCACUCAUGCGUCCUGGUGACUAGGUCAACCUCAGCUCACUGUAACACCCUAAAAAUAGCCUCGUCUUUAUCGUUUUUUUCCUGCAGGUGACACACACACAGAGACAUACGACCACUUCAGGUGACCCUGAGGUAUUUCUGUAACGGUGAAGGGGUCAAAGGUGAAAGAUCGGCUGCAGAGUCUGGGUGUCUGCUCUCACGUCAGCCUCUAAGUUUAGCUGCACAUGCAGACAGAGACGGGGGUCGAGCACGAGAUCGGCGCUCCGGUCCGGCUGAGGCUGAUCAGCAGGAAAACCCUGACGAGGCAGAAAGAGCAGCAGCACGCUCCCCGCCGUGUCAGACUGAUGGACGGACAGGCGGCUGACCUCACGCCACCGCCGCAUGUGACAUGAGGAGCAGAGGGUGUCAGGGACGAGAAUGAGACCCCCAGGAUUUCACAAUGUGAGGAAGAUGAAGAAGAGCAGAGAUGGCAUGAUGGAAAUGAGGAGCACAUGACGGAGGGUGAAAGUGUCUCUGCUCCAUUUGUUUUCUGAGUGUACGUGUGCUGGUGAAUACUAAUCCUCAUUUACCUUUGUAAUGAGAUUAUAAACACCUGACUGCCAGCAUGUCCCACAUACUCUGCGUGUUUUUGCUGCAGUGAUCCUGAUAAUUUAUGAAAAUGAAUUCUUCACUCACUUAAAGAGGGCAUUUUUUUUGUUAGUUGCACAUCGGACUUAGAUCCAAUCUGGAUUGAUCCUGAACAGAGUUUUUUGGCUAUUUUAGUUUGGGAAAUAGUUUAAAUUUAUUUUUCUAACCAUUGAAAAAAAGGAAAAGAUCAGGUUCAUCUAAUCCUGAUCGAAGGACAAAAGGAGGGAGAGUAUCACCUGCCGAUAGUUUGACUGCAGAAUAAUAAUAAUAAUUACUGUCACUCCCAGGUAUAUUUGAGAGCAUACGAAGCAAUACUGAAGCCUCACAUUGAAAAGGAGAACACCAAUUCCUAAGAAGCAACAAAGAAAUUUGGAUAAUGAAGGUAAAGAUUCAGACUCAGUGUGCAAACCUGAUCGACAAAAUUAGAUUGUUUUUCUUCCCAAACCUGCAACAAUUUAGUCCAAACCUUUUGUGCAAAGGCUAUUACUCAUGGCUCUUUUCUUUUGUUUAUUUAAUUGUAUUUAUUACAUCCAACAUCUUCCAACAUGUCCAUGCUUGUUUGUGCAACUCCACAUCCGUAUUUACAAAAUCCACUUUAGCAAUUGAGCUUUUUAUUUUGUGAAUCGCAUUUUAUCGACAGAGAGAAGGACGAAAUUUCAAAAACUGCUUCAUUUGCUGCAAACAUUCCUCGCUACAGACCUUCUAUGCUGUGUUCAAAUGAAUCACUUGUUUAAUUGCAAGUAUUUGAACAUUUGCAUGUUUUGUUCUUGCUUUAUUUGCACAAAUAACUGGCUCCAGUUUUAUGCCAUAUCUUAUCUAUGCCAGUUAAAAAUGUAAAGAGAGGAGAUGUUUCCUUCAGUCUGUUUUCAUCAAACAAGGUUGAGGUGGACAACAGAUAAUCCAACCUCCACACUCACUUUCCUCAAAAAUAAAGUUUCUUUUUAUUCCCGUCUGCUAAAGGAAUAAGUUGUGUCAUAGAGUCGAAGGCAGCUGCAUGCCGUCAGUAUCAGUUUGUUCCCCGUUUUCCAGAUAAAUAAACCUCCACUGGUCUGUUGUUGACAAACCUAAUCAGAGGAUCUCCGUGCUGAUUGGCUAUCGCAGCAGGAGUUCAGAUUUCUCAACUCUCACGAAUAAGUAAAUGAAUCUGCAGUUGAAUGCAUCACAAAUUCACUUAGUUUGCACGUAACACGUUCAAUUCGCACCACCUGAUGAAGUUGCUUUGGCUUCUUCGUAUCAACCUCAACGUUGAGAACUUGAGUGGGAUUUAAUCUGCUUAAAUUAAAGGUUGCUUUUAUUUAUAUACAGAUAAGAACGGGUUUAAAUAUCUGUUGAAUUGUAUGUUUUGUCGUAAUAAAAUCCUUAUUUCUGUCUUUUAUGAAAAGUUCUGUACCUGUAUGAGAGGAUUUUUCAAAUUAAGUCAGUCCCUUUAGGUCUCACUUGGAGAGGGCACAAUGACUCUAUUCCAAAAUAUAACAGAUCACAAUUAAAUUUUCCAGUUUGAAUCCUAAAAGUCUUUUUGGCCGCGGCCGUCACUCUCAUGUUCCUCGGAGUGUCUUUCUUUUACCGACCGUUUGAAGCUUGAUGUGUAUCUGUUUCGUUUUUUUUUUCUGUCUGCAGACACGGGUGAGUCUGUGGGUUUCGUUCCUGCUGAGAGUGAAAGCUUCUGUCCCCCCUCGUCGCUCCCUCCUCACCCACCCCUCUCUUCACUCUCCCUUUUUCUGGCUCUGAAACGAGGAGUGAGUCCCUGUUUCAAGAGGUUUGGAAUUAGUUUGUCUCCUAGCAACAGCCGUACAAUACAACAUGGUUCUGUGAGAGACAGUGUGAGAGUGAUGUGUGUGUGAGGAGUGUGAGAACUGAUCUCCGUGUGUGUGUGUGUGUAUGUGUGUG